Molecule: long non-coding RNA, 81705 nt
Filed under: Prunus persica (peach)
Lineage: Eukaryota; Viridiplantae; Streptophyta; Magnoliopsida; Rosales; Rosaceae
Description: long non-coding RNA (PPER_LNC007323)
Source: RNAcentral
UUUUUUUUUUUUUUUUUUUUGGGUUUUCUAUCUCUCUGAUCCUCCGUUCCAGCAAGGUAAUUUCUGGGUUUAUGAGCUGGAGGGAUGGUGUUGUUGGUGCUGUAGAGAUGAUGAUGAAGGGAUGGUGCUGCAGAAAUGAUGAUGGUGUGGUAGAGAUGGUGCUGUGGAGAUGAUGAUGAUGGAGGAUUUUUAAUUAUUUGAUUUUUUUUUCUUUCUGAUUUAUUUGAAUUUUUAGUUAUUUUUAAAUAUUAGAAUAUUUAAUUAUAUUUUUAUCUAAGUGGAGGUAGGCUCCACUUGCCACGUCACCUACCUAAUUGGUGAAUAAUGAUCCACGUGUACUAACUUACAAAAAACUACCCUUGCCACAUUAUCAGAUUUACUAGAGUUUUGGAUAGAAUUGACGACAUGGGCAAAAUGGAUCACCAAACCUUGAUCAAGGGGAGAAAGUAGGUCACUUUAAGUUUGAAAGAGCAAAGUGAUAUUUGACCGUAGUUUCGGAAGCAUUGGUGUAAAUAAGCCUAAUAUAUAUGCCACAUUAAAAUGUAAUUCUACUUAAAUAAAACUAGUUAUUAGCAUAUGUUGAUGUUCAAUUUCAAUGAAUAUACAUGUAGAUAUGUUAUAUUUUCAAACUGUGAAUUAAAACGAGACAUUCAAACGUUAUGUGGAAUCAAUCAAUAAUAUUCUCAGUCUAAACAUGUGAUAUUAAUUUCCAUAAGUUUUGUUGUUAGAUUUGAACGUAAUUCUAUUUCAUGCUCUUGUCUUGUGAGUUGUUGGCUUAUCUAAACGAUGCAGCAAACCCAACCAAACUAUCCUUGCCUUUAAGUUUUAGCCAUGCGUGUCCACCUUCCCAACUGCCUUCCUUUGCAGGUGGACCUUUUGUGUUUCAAUUUGAUGAGGAGGAUACUUGCAUUUGGUAUGAUAAAAUUGUAGGUGGGUCUCUUUUCUUGAGUUGUUGCUAGGCACGACAUCAGUGCAGUUGGAUAUUUUAAUUCUUAUAGACAAAAUAAAAGCUGUGUAGAUGCAAUUCAACAAAUUUGCCGUCCUUGAAUUUAUUGUUGUUUUUGUGGUAGUUGUAUUGUAUGCAUAUGCUUUUUUGAGUUCAAAGAUGAAUGUUGAUGCUGUCGGUUUAGGCACAAAAGGCUCUUCCUCUUCUACAAUCUAUAUCCUCAAUUCAAGUACGUACCAUCCUCAUUUAUAUAUUUUAGUUGUGUGAAAAGUCUAGCUUUUAUUUUCACAUUGACUCCUCGUUUCAUUAGACCAAAUUAUCUUUUCGUUUCAACUUACAAGGUCAAACUAAAUUUAGUCCAACCCAAGCUUCUUAAAAGGUUAACAAUGAAAAAUACUUCUUGAGAAUAAACUUCCCAUGUCUAAUAAUUUUAAGAGAUAGGAAUGGAGGAUGUUCAUUCUCAUGUUUGGGAAUGCUAGGAAAUGAGGACUAUGAAAUGGUAUUUUAUCACAUUCCCAUGUUUGGUUACUGCAGUAUUAGGAAUGAAAAGUUGUUCAGUUUUCCAACAAUACCCUUAUUUUUUAUUAUUAAAAGUUAUUGUUGAAAAAGCAGUAUUUAAAAAUAACAAUAUAGGUAAGCUAGUGCAAAAAGAGCUGCAUUAAAUGUUUUUCCAAGUAGGGGAAAAAAGUUUCCCAAGGUGAGCCAAGGGUAUGAAAUUCCGCACUACAUGGGAAGUCCAUUCUCAUGAGUCUAUAAUUACAUUAUCAAUAGUGCACUUACCAAACAUGAGAAUGCAAUUUGAAAUCUAUUACUAAACUCCUAAACCUUGAACCAAACAUAAUGGAGAAAUUGUAAAACUAAAUAACAGUGUUACGGUUUGACCCAAAAAUUACUCCAAGCGGUGAGAAUGAGUGAGAAAAUUGAUUAGAAUUAAGUUAGCUCAAUGAUUCGAACACCCAAAAACAUCAAAAGACUAGCAGUGAAAACUUAUUGUAUACCACGAAGUAUGCAACUUUCUUUCCACAAUAACAUCUCACAUGUACUCAGAUAUUAUUCUUGUUCGAAUUUCUUUAACAGUCGAAGAUUUUUUGGAUAUUAUGAUUGUCUAAUAUGAUAUUAGAGUUAUGGUCGGCAAGAUGCCCCAAGUGUACGAAACAGUCAAAUCACAACCCUGACUUCUUUGCUAGGUUGCAAUGUGCAUGGUUGAGCUGCACAUAUGUCCACCUCUGUAGCUGUUUGGAGUUGCACGUGGCGCGAUAAGGGUGUAAGCUUGAUAUACAUUGAUUACAUGCAUUUCCCCAAAACUUUAAGAUUUUGAAAUCUGGAGAUUGUUAAGAGUAUGCAUGCACGCUUCAUACGCAAGGAUGUUUCUUGAAAGUGCUUGGAAUUUUACUGCUUAUUAGGGUUUUGAAGUGUCUUUGCCUUUCUGUUUUUUCGAUCGAAAAUGAUAAAUCUACAAUUCACUUCUUGUCCCAUGCCCUGUAUUGUACCAGUAAUCAUCACUAAUCCACUUGAAGAUGUACCAAUCUUUUUCUCUUUUCAAUAACCUUUUCCCAGAACUGACAAUAAUUUCCGGAGUAGAGUAAGAUAUUCUAAGGAUAAUGUUUCAUGCACGAACAAAUGUAAGUUAAAUCGGUUGGACAUAAUAGUGUCGUUUGCAUCCGAGAUCUACGCACCAAAGCGAAGCCUUAUACAUUUCGAGCACUAAAAUGGGUCACUAGGAUUAAAGAUCCUAAUGUGAACGUCCGUGGUCAAUAGGGCUUAAAGAUCAUCCUGAUGGGACAAUAUUUUUUGUUUUUUUUGUUAUCUUCUCUUAUGGCGGAUGGGAAUGGUUUAGGUGGUAGCUCAAUGCUGCUUUCAGCCAGCACAUACUAUUCCUCUCUAGUUGGGAGGAAUAUAUUUGGGUCGUUUUUAAUUGGGAUCUAUUUGGGAGUACUUUAUAACUAAUAUUACUUUUUAUAACGUAAUUGGGUAAAUGGCACCAGAUAAAUACUUUUUUCAGGGAAGCUUCGGCAUACAGAUGUGAAAGGCACACCAUUAAAAAAUGACUCCAGCCGUAAGCAAAAUGUUACAUUAAUUGCUUUAUGCAUCUGCAGCCACAGAAGAACAGGCACAUUUAUCUAAUAUACAGAAUGAACUCUCUCACCUGUUUCUCCGCAUAUUAUACGUAUAACCAAUUCUACAAUACAAGGAACAAUGCAAGACAUGUUACAUAAAAUGACAGGCAAAUUCAUCCAUGUUGCGCACUUUUUGCCCCACUCUUUGAAUUUGACGAAAGAAUGUGAAUCUAAGAUACGCUUCAUCAGUAUGAUGGUUAGCUCCAUGGUAUUAACAGUUGAGGGUCGAGAUUCGCAACAAGGUCGUGCACGCUCAAAUGUGCACGGUUGUCAUUCACUAGUCCAAGCGAAAAGGAGGUACAACUAAAGAUUAGUUGGCAUCAGAUGCUUCCUCCGUGGAGACUUGAAAGCCCAUCUCCAGAUCAUGAUUGAAAGAAAAAUAAAUAUUUAGUUUAGGGCAUAGUGAACCCGCUCAAGGAGUUGCACAACCUGAUUAACAGGGAUUAGCGCAUAUCGCGAUUUCAAACUGGGCUUUACGGUGCCUUGUGCCCCAAGAGGUGAUGAUAAUACUGCCUCUUGUUGCAUACCAGUCAGCUCCAAGAAUUGAGAGAGCAUGUCACCAUCAAGUAUCUUAGGUACUCCUACCUGCAUCAACAAAUAACACACACAUGCUCACACCCACAUCACUCAUCCACACGGGCAUGAUAACGACAUAAAAUAUUCAUCUUUACAUACAAUAACAUCUGAUGCACCCCAUAUUUCAAAAUGAAACUAUGUAUAAUGUAGCAGUAUUCUUUUUUUAUUUCUUACUCUCAAACUUAUCUCUCCAGCUAAUCAAAGGCACAUUAGAAUUGAAAACCACACCACCAAAUUUAUUAAGGUUUCUGUUGGAAACAAUUUUCUCAUCCAGUUGUAAUCAAUUUUAAGAAUCAGAUUCUAAAUAGAACUGUCAACCGUGUAUUAUACUAAAUGAAACUAAUCUGAUUAAAUUUGGAUGCUGGCAUCGACCAAUUUCUUUGUCAACCCAAUCACUUUAAGCACUAACAGAAAUAGCAACACAUUCAUGGUAUACCCCCGUAACAAACUCCAAAGGCAAAAGGGAAAAAGAAAACAGGAAAAAUAUAUCGAAAAGAUAAAUAACAUGACAUAUUUUAUGCACAGUACUAGUGUUCAUGCACAUGUAAGCAUGCUAGUAUAUAUAGGAAAAGAUUUACAAGAUCCUACAGUUCUUACCGGAUUUUCCCGACUACGAUACUCAUUAUGAUCAUUCCCAAGAAUAGGAGCAGUUAAUGGAUGCACCACUAGUCUAUCUUGGACAGCUUCUAAGAGUUCAUAUUCUUCCCUGGAAAACAUAAAUAAAUAUUUUAGUAAAAAAAAUCAAAUAAAUUUGAUAUCUAUUAAGCAUGGUGUUAAAUUCUAAUCACGAUUUACAAUAAAAAGACAAACACAUUGACCAUCUACUAUUAAGAAGAACAUUGAACAUUUGUAGAAGUAACCAUAGAAAAUUCAGUGCAUCUGUGGCUCGGGCAACCAAUAAAGACAAGAUGCAUAAUGCAUAUUGGUUUAUGGUGACUAGAGACUUUCACUUUAGGAGGGUAUAGAUGAUUAGUACCUUAACUACAAAAGUCAGGAUUCUUAGAUUUUUCAUUGAGGCACCUAGCUUAACAAACUAACAGACAUUUUCUUCAAAAAAAAAUUAUGUCUUUCCAGAGGCAGCUUCACUAUGUUAAUGGUAAAACGAGUUAUAAAAACACAGGCUAAAUCCCCAGAAAUUGGCAGUGAGCCAAGCUUACUUGCUCAAAUGAUCAACCACUAUGUGUAGGCUAAUAAUAGCACAUAAAGACUUUAGAUGCAUCUCUAGGAUGUCUGACGCCUUUUAUUUGACGUCAGGUCUAAAAGCAUGAUGGUGCAACUUUUUUGAAAAGGAAGGUUAGUAAAAGGGAAUUGGAAUUAAGGCUAUUUUGCAUACCUUGAUAUUGGCACGAAGGUUAUUAUGCUUCCAAGCAGUGUACUCACAAUGAUGGCGUUUUGUGAGAAGUCGAUAUUUCCAUCACAACCCUUCAAUACAUCAUCAGCUGGAAGUUUAUAUGAAAAUGAUCCCUAGAAAGAAAAUUAUUAAUGUAACCACAAGGUAAGCACCAAGACAUUUCACAACAAUUUAUAAGAUAGUUUCAGAACCAGAAGUUCUGCAACGAAGCAAUAGAAAUAGUUUCUGAAGGUAUGUUUUCUAAUAUAAUAAUAUCAAGUUAUCAUGCUCUCAUGGACAUUUCAUCAUUUCUAUAUUGCAAGCAUCCACUUACGUAUGCACUUUUGUACCAAACUUUAAAGUCAUGAUGUAUAUUAUUACUUUCAUUCAUUAACAAAAGAAAAAAGUUGGUCUUGCUGAAUGUUGCUUAUAAGUUACAGCCCAUUCAUGUUAGUCUUUUAUAUACUCAUGAGUCAUGAAAAUUAAUAUCUAGCAGGAGCAAAUUAACCUUGUAAGGCCUGCUUUUAAAUCGGGAUCUCUUCACUUAUUUUGAGGAAAAAAAAUACGAGUCUUUAACUAUUAGGGUUUGUUUUCCUAUUUACUAGAAAGGUUUCUUGUUGGCUUUAUUUCCUCAUUGGGGUUCAACUGCCAAGUACGGCUGAUUGCAACCUACAAAAGCAGACUUGAUUAUUGGAGUGAAAUUACAGAUUUUUUUAUGCCAGGAUUGAUAUUAAAGAUUGAAAUCCUCUCUCUCUCUCUCCCCCUCCCUCCCUCCCUCCCUCCCUCUUUUUCGCUUUCUUCCUAAUUUUUCCGCAUCAUCAUUAUAUGUCAACUCCAGAUAGGUAUACCUAAAUUCAAUUCCUUCAGUUACUUCAGGCAUUAACAAUUUGAACUUCGAACGUUUAAAGGCUAUAAUCCAGUAGCUAAGAAGACACAGAGUAAAGAUGUACCUUCCUGAUGCUCAUAGCUAUCUCGCCCAUAUAAUAAGCACAGCUCACUGUUAAAUUACAUUCUGGACUUGCGGUAUCUGGUACACAGAAUUGUAAGAAGAAAAAAGUUAAAACGGUACCACUUCCAGACGAAGCAUAUGAGCAUGAACAGGGUCUGAAGACAAAAUGAUAGAAACCAAACAAUAUGAAGGUAUUAAUAAAUUUGACUACCACCGUUAUUUGUCUGUCAAGAAUCCACCACCACCAUACAUUGAUAACACUAACUCUUGACAUUAAACAGCACGAAAUUUAUGAAGUAGUGUAUGCUCAUUAGCAUUUAAUUUAAGGCUGUCUGAAAUAUAAAAAAACCAUUUGUAAAACAAAAAAUUCAGUUUCCCACAAAAUAAAUUUCUACUUCACCAUCAUGCCAAUUGCAGUGGAGCAUUUCUCUAUAAUGAUUUAAAUCAUAGAAUCUGUUCCCGACAAGCAAGUACCACAUUAGCAAUGUUUUCCCAACAUCGUGAUAAGGAAAAUGCAUAUGACUAUGUUACAAGCUUCAUGUCAAUAACAAAUAAGUUGUGAAAUAAUAUAUCUGACAAGUUUCUUCCUUUUGUGUUUUCUAAAAUUACAAACCGUGUAUAAUUCACAAAAUUUCUAUAUUUCUGACCAAAUCAACUUGCAUAUUGUAGUCAAACAAGACAAUCAUUUUGAAUGCUAUACAAAUUGGUAUCAGCUAAAAAAUCAUACUUCCAAAAGACAAUCAAUUUCUCUUCAUAUUUAAAGCAAAUACACAGAUAGUCCAAUGUUAAUCUCUAUAAACAAUUUCUGAGCUGCACAUCCUGCUGCUUCUGUUCCAACCCUCAACUGGGUUUUACAGGACUUAAGCUGGAAGACAAAAAGAUUUGCAGACAUUGAUUUACAAUUUCACAGGAAAUUUAAUCUUUUACCUUCUAAAUAAUCUGCACAAGAAAGAACAGCAAUGCUUCCCUUACGAUCUGAAACAACAGCAGUAUUGACAUCCAUAAGAAUGCAAUCAGCAACUAAUCUCUGACAUGGAUCAAAGUAUAGUUGCUGCAGCUUUUUGGAAUCCUUCCACACAAGAAAGAGAAGCAAACAAUAUCAGGACAAAUAAUACAAAGUACAAGGUGUGACCAUAUUGUAACUUCUAACGUAAAAGUUACUUAGACAAAGAAAAAUAAACAACAACAAAAGGAGAGAGAGGGGAGAGCGAUAAUGCUUACCUCAUGAUAAGCAUAGAAAAGGACACCAUCACGACAAUCACCAACAGCAAUUGUAGUGAAAUGUGCAGUCAAAGACGUAAUCAUAAAACGUGUCCUUGCCCAAGCAAACUUUCUCACUCUUUGGGAAUUGUCAUUUGGAAACCCGCAUACAUAAAACUGAGAAAAGAAGACCAAUACCUUCAUCAACAGUUGUCAUGCAAUAAACCAGGUUAACCUUAUCUUCCAACUACAAAACUUUAAAACAUGCAUAUAGAACAAUAUAUAGGGAAAAAAAGAAGAAAGAAUAAGAAAGAAAGAAGUUUGCUACUUACAGCAUUACCAGAAGACGCCAAGAAGUAACGAUCAAGAUAAGGACAGAUUGCAAGCACCAUCCCAGGCCAUUUGGUUACAUAAGCCAAUCGAAACUGCCAUGCUUCAGUUUCUUCAAGUUUAAUUCCAUCACAGCUCGUAUCAUCUGGGCUACUGCAAAGACUACUGCUUGAAAGCUGUUCUGUGGCAUACCCAACAAUUUCAUGAAAUGGAGAUGCUCGUUGAGAAGAUGACCCUGCCUUUGAGCAUAAUGUCAUUGAGCCACUGUCUGAAUUUUGCACAUGUUCAAGACAGAGAACAAUAAGACGUCCCUUGGUACUGUUAACAAGAAUCCAGUUAGAAUGCAUGCCUAUCAAACAAAAGGAAUUGAGAAUGACCCUCAAACAUUUACACAUUGACACAUUGCCUGGAAAUUAGUUAACAUUGAAGAUCCUGAAAAACUUAUAUUUAUAACUUGAACCUUUUAAACUCUGAGGAAGAGAGAGAAAUAAGGACACGUGCUUUACCUCUCAGCCUCACCACUAGGCAUUAUGGCUGGACCAGAAGAUAAACUCGUCCCAACCACAAGAACCUGUUCAUUUCCAACCCUCACUAACUCCAUGGAUUUCCCUGUUUCACCGGGUUCAAGUUUGAAAGAUGACAGCACUGACCCACUAAGAGGAUCUACACAGCAUAUAUCGGAUGAAGAUGUAUCAUUACUCAAAUCAGUCCUCAUCACAAGCAAUAGCCUGCUUUCACUAUGAUAAAGGACCUCCCUCGGAGUGCCUCCAAGAUGAAACUUCUGCACAUUAAGCCUCUUACUAUGCACCAUCUCUACCUAGAAUCAUCAUAUAACAUUGACUAGAAUCAAUAUAUCCAACUUCAAGAUAAUUUAGUAUAAAAAAUAAAAUAAAAUAAAAUAAAAAACAUUACAAACAUGAGCCUCAUAGACUCACAAGCUUUUAAGCUCACAAGCAAGCACCCACUCACAUAUGCGUACACACAAGCGUAAUUUGAAAAUAAAAAGACUUGCAAUUCCUAUGCAUUGGGAGGUCCCAAACUCUACCCAACCUUGGUUAAGGCAUAACUCAGUCAAAUGUCCUUGGACAAUGCCAAAUGACCUCAGCAACUAUGCUAAGAUUUUCUAGGUUAGUGUUAGUUUAUUUACUACACCUUAUCAUUCUUUAAUAAAUUCAGUAUCAAAACAUUAGAAGCUAAUCAACUUCACAGAUUCGGCCAGUUCCACUCAUCAAUCUUGUUCCAAAUAUUGUCAGGGAAUAUCUCUUUUAUUUAACAAGGCAAAGACAUAGAGCACAAGUGAAAUUCCAUUUACUGACAAUACAUUCAAUGGGAUAUACAAACCAUCAACCUUUUGUUCCAAUAAUCAUAUAGGAACAUCUAGCCUGCUAGGACAUCUGUGGAAAUGCAUGAACAUCUGUCUAAUUCUAAUCAUAUAAUAGCAUAGAACAAAUUUUUUAACUGGAACAUAAUUCCCAUAGUCCUAUGUUCUGAAAGACAAUAGUGAUUAAGAAUGAAAAUAAGUAUAUUUAUUCAAAACCUCAAAAAAUACCAUCAAAUGGACACAAACAUCCACAGUUCCCAGAAGAAAAGGAAAUAGAAAUUCCAUGAAAAUCUAGAAAUCCCAGUUCUGUGAAAAUUAAAUAUAAACUAUAUAGAAAAAUUAGCUGCAGUUAAUAUGGUAAUAUACUCAAGAUAAACCUUUUUGUACAAGGCUCCAUACACUUCCUAGAUUGAAGGCAUAAUUACAAGCUGACAAGAGUAGAACUAGAAUCAAACAAAAACAUAUUGAUAAAACUAGAUUCAACAAAAUGAAAUAUAUAGACCAACAAGAGCACACAGCAAUAUGGAGUAGAACUCUCACCAAAUGUAGACAGUUCUCUGCAACAAAUAAAAUUCCCUUAGGGCAUUCCACAUAACAUACAGGAGUGACAUGUGUCGAAGAUUGAAAUGAGAUAGAAGUAUAUGAGAGGCUGUGCCUUGCAGUAUGCAACAACCAAGGCCUAUCACUGAGAACAACUAUAUCACCAUCUAGCGAGUCACUCAAAGGAACCAAGAAAACAGGGGUGAUGCCAAUCCGACGUGUAGCAAUCAAUUGAAGUUCAAUAGGAAAUUUGUCCUUUGUCUUCUCAGAGAACUUAACAUCAUAUAUUUUUGGGCCAAACGAAUUUGCUGCUGAUACACUUGGAAAAACAGUAUUUGUAUUAACUGAAAGAGAUCCAACAGGCAUUGUUGGGGAAGCAGGCCAUUCGAAACGAAGCAGCAUUCCAUUCCUCAAUCCCGAAAGGACAUACAAUCGGUCCACUAAUACAAGCCUUACAUCUUGAGGAAUGCAGCCACUAAUAGCAGUUCCCAAAGUAUUUGUUAACGAGAUCGUCCCAGAAGCAAGAACUCUCAGUCCUUCAUUAGGCACAAGAGACAAAACUUCCACUGAAGGCUUGUGCGUGCCAAUAACAAAGAUAUUACUGAUGUCAACUCCAAAUGGAAGGGUGGCAUCACAGCUAUUAUCCACCAGACUGGUUCCCUCAAAACGUUUCUGAGGAAUGGAAACACACGAUAAUUCAUUUUGCAAUCUCAAAUAUUGCAUUUCAUAUAUUUCAUAAUGAUGCGCCGAAAGCAAUCUAACCCCAAGAAUGAAUAAAAAGCAUGGAUUAGACGAGGAAACAACAAUUAGAUUAUGUCCAACAGCCCCCAAACUGAUACUCAUAUUUUCUGGGAACCAAGAUGUGCAAACCGGAGAAGGCAGUGGAAUACCUUCAGAAUGGGCAGUCUUGGUGGGUAAACAGAGCCUAACUGCAUUUUUGUGAAUCUGAACCAGCAAUCCAUCAUUUACAACACCGCAGGCCAAAGUAGAAACGUCAGGCUGAAAACCAACUGAAUCCGUCACAUCAGUAAAGCUUAAACCAACUGAUAAUACUCUGGUCUCCUCAACAAAUGAUAGCACAAGAAAAGAAUGGUAAGAAUCAAUUACUUUCAUUCGUAAUGUCCAAGUACCAGUAAUCCCUUGAUAUAUAGGUGCAGUCCUCAGUAGCUUUUCCACACUUAUACCAUUUCUAAUAAUCCUUAGUGACCCCUCCGGUGCCACUCCACAACAGGCAAACAUUUGAUCAUGUUUUUCAUCAUGGUAAUCCACAACUGACAUAUCCAGUACUGGGGCAAUAUUUUGAAUAGGACUUGCAUAAAGAAGUGCCCCAUUUUCCAUUUUCAAUACCAUUCCGUCUCCCAUCUCUAUUAUUGCAGCCAGAAACCCGCCUUCAACCCACAAAACUGCCUUGCUUGGUAAACCUUUGUAAAGACACUCAGAUUCUUGAACCUUAAGUCCAUCAGGACCAAAGAUAAUUUCAAUCAUGAAAUAUUCUCCUGUAUCUGCACAAAUGAUCAUUCUGGGACUUUUAGCAUUUCCCGGUUCCCAACUCCAUGAACACACAUGUUUGUAAGUCACAUUCACAUUGUAUUUGUCACCAUCUAUACACAUUGGAUCUAAAUCGCUUAGUUCUAGUAAAGCACAUGCAGCUACAUUAAAUAAACCUCCUUCAUCAUCAACCUGAAGUACUCUAGAUAGAUCACAUCCUCUAGAUGACUCUUGAACAAAAUUUGCCUCAUCAACCACAUUGGAUAAGAAAUUUGGGCUUGUUCUGUGGACACAAUAGGGGAUCUGUGCAUCUCUAAGAUCCAUUAGGAGAGCAUCACCCUCCCUAAACAUAAAAGCAAAUCCAUAAGAAUGAGGAACUUCAACAAUACUAUGUGCUAACGGUCCAUCUUCAGUAUACGUAGAAAUCACAUAAAUUUCUUGUUCACUAAUAUUCCAUCCCAGUAACAGCAAUUCAUUAAGGACUGCUCCCCUCCUGCAAUGCCAAAAUUUUCCCAUGUAUAUAGAGUCAUCAGAAUGUGAAAAUGACUUCUAUACUCAAACCAUGUAAACAAUUGCAAGUGCAUUUUUUUCCCCCACACACGCAUGACAAUCAUACCUAUUUAGAAGAAUGGCAAGUACAGGAUUAUGCCCCUUACUUGAUUGACUAGGAUCCUUUGAAAUAAAGCUCAUGCUCCAUAUAGUACCACAUAUACUGUUUUUUUGAACUCGGGCAGCACUAGCAUCUGCUUCUUUUUCUUGGGGGAAGACUAUUUUCUGAAAUUUGGACAACAGAACAUCUGAAAAACUUCGCAUGAAAAAUUUGUGGUCAAAAAGAAAAUAAAAAAGCUUCAUAUGUUCUUUUUCUAUACAAACAAAAUUCAUGUCAUUUUCUCUAAAAUAUACAAUACUGUGAAACCUAUAAUAAGAAGGGAAAGCAGCUCAACCUUAUCAAUAAUGUCACUGCCUCCAGACACUGAAACAGAGAACAUGGCCAACUGGUUUUCAUAAGCACUAGCAGCAAUGAAACAGCCACUGUAAAAGCGUAAACAUAGAAAUUAGGACUACAAAAAAAUAAUGGGACUGCCAAGAGCUUCUAUUUACAUAUUCAUUAGUUUAUGAAAUCUCUACCACAUGCACUAGAGCAUAAGAAAAGAACAAACAUAUAAUAAGCAAACAUAUGAACACGCGAAGUUGUGCUCUACUCCACGUACUAAACUUUCUUCCUAAAAAACAAAGCUUACAAUUAUUCCACAAAAGACCCACAGCUGUUUGAUAGGGGGAAAAAGAGGAACAUUCAGGAUUAAAAUGGUAAGGAAAAAAAAAAAGCAUUUAUUUAACAACAAAAAAUAUUAUCUUAUACCCAACUGCUCCACUUUUCAGUUUAACUUUCAGUCCUUUACCUAAUUCCCCCUUAUAUUCCCUCUUUCUUACCCACUUUUAUUUUCUCCCUCUCCUAACUACUAAAAAAACUACUUUUAAUUAUUUUACUCGACAAUGUUUAAGUUACACUUUUCUAUCACACAAGAACAUAUAUUGUUUGCAGAAUCUAAUGCAAGAUAAGUAAAAUUACAGUUAAUAUUCUAUAGCAAUAUCCUAAAGUUUUCCAGGAAAACAACAAGAAAUCUAGUAAACAAAUAAUUUGCAAAUCUUUAUUGGCUGAACUAGUUCAGGGUGCAUAGCAACUAGCUAAAGAUUUUAAACUAUUACAUGAGAAGACAUGACACGACAGAGCAAAUGAUUAUAUUGCAAGUAAAAAGUAAUUUCAUCAUGGAAAUUGAAAGGAGAGGAGAAGGAAUAUGUGUUUACCCAAACUACACAUAAACCAAACUAAGUUAUAAAACCUUUUUUCAAAAGUUUCAAACACAAUGGUGACUUACCUUGAAUCAAUGGCUAGCAUUCUUCCAAGCUGAUUCCUUGAAUUUCCAGGAUUAGAAAGUUGAACUUGUGUCACAGGAAAAAACCUACGUAAAACAUUUCCAAAUAUAAUAAGAGUAAGCAGCAGAGAAGGGUGGAUUGUCAGUGUUGACAAUUUGGAAUAUAUAAUUGGGAGGCAUGGUUAGGUUCCAUUAUUAUACUUGGCGCACAUCCUAAACAAACCAUUUGCACGGUAUUCGAGACGCUUACUGUCAUAUAGCUGGUUUUUUAUUUUAUUGCACUGUUCAUCAAGAAGCAACACCAAAAACGAAAAGUUCAAGAAAGCAAGAAAACGUAUAUUUACCUGUGCAUUUCAUUGCAAAAAGAGAGAAACGAGAGGUUCCCAGAAUCAGAAAUAACAACCAAAAGGUCUUUACCCAGCAUCUACCACAAGAAGAUGAACUUAUUUCAAUGAAUACAACUUAGUUAAUUUUUGAAAUACAAAAAGGAAGAAAGAAAACUGUAAGGUUCUCCAAGUAAACGAGAAACCUGUGGGUUUUGGGUGCGGAAUUUGUCAUUCGAGGGUAGGAUGGCGAUGUCUUUAAUGGUGCCAAACACAGGCUGCUCGCAUAUAGACUGUACAAUCCCAUCUUCACCAAUUAUGACCAACUCUAUGGAAGUCUCCUGAAUUUCAAAUUUGCCACGAACCAUUAACAGUUAGAUUAAGCUAUUUACUUCUGAGCUUAGGCAAGAUUAAUAUCAAGCAAACGCAGUUUUUUUCUUAUCUAAUUCCAACAAAAUUACAAUUAAAUAAGAAGAGCUUGAUCAGAAAAGCAGUACUCUUUGUUUCUAAAUCCAACAAAAUUACCGUCCUGCUCACAAUAGCUGCAGGAAAGUGGUGAACAACAUGAAAAGUGAGAGAGAUAGAUGACCUUCCCGAAGACGACGUCGUAGGAAGUGGGAAAGCGGAUGUGACCAUAGAGGACCUGAAGAACAACGCUCCCUCGGAGGACGCACUUGGCGAGGUAGUGAGAGCUGCUGGCGGAGGCUGAUGAGGAUGAUCGGGAAUUUGCAGACGAACACUCUUCCUCUGAGACCGCCAUUGACGAUGGCCCCGAGAAUUUCAAAGCUAGGGUUUUCUGUUUGUUUCUCGAUAAAACUUAAACGACUGUUUGAUUUUCCGACAACUAAAAGGUCUCUAUUUCUUAGGCGUUUGUCGUCAAGGCUCCAGGUGUCCUCACAGAGAGAGAUGGACUUAAUAAAAUUAAUUAAGACUGAUCAUGUGUUAUACUAAUUAAGUAAUCAGAUAUUUAAAGCAAUGAGGAUUUUAUCAAGAAUUUAAUGCUUUACAAAUUAAAACUCUAAUGAAAUUUAAAACUUAUCUUUUUGGAGGGAUUAAUGACUGUGACAGCAGAGGUGACAUCAUGUGUAAUGAUGGUUUUAGUGCUACUAGUAGUAAGGUGGUGGCGAGGUAAGAGUGUGGUGGCGGCAACGGCAGCGAUGCUGAUGAGAUGGUUUAUCGCGGUUGUUGUGGGGAGGUGCAGAUGGUUGCGGUGAUGGGCAUAGUAUGGUUAUAGUGGUGGUGGUAGCCAAAUAUGGUUCGGUUGGGGUGGUGGUGGUAUAGGCGAUGUGAUACAUAGUUUAUUUUAUUUUAUUUUUCUUCAAAUCUUUCACUCUUGAAAAUUUUGAAAUAAUGUCUAUUUAUAUAGAAUUGAAAAUCAAUAGCGAUACUCAUGAUAAAGUGGUGGUGGUGGUAUAAAAGAUGUGGUAUAUUAUUUUUAAAUUAUUUUUUCUCUUAAAAUUAUAAUUCUCUUGAACUCUUAGAAAUGAUAACUAUUUAGAUAAAAUUUAAAUUUAAAAUUUAUGACUUCGAAAUUCUAAAUUUGUUUCACAAAAAGAUUUUAAAUUUAUAUAUUUUAAUGAAUCCAAACAAAAGUGUAGGUGCAUGUCAAUUCAAAAGUUAGGACUUUUAUCUAAAUUCCAAAUUUAUUUUCUUCUUUCAAGCCUUUGCUGCUACAAAACAAACGCUACCCAACUUUCUUCCUAACUAUGAUUUCUCAACUAACACGCAUAUAUGAUGGAGCACAUCCCAUCGACACGUUUAUAACGAAACAACGCAUAAUACUCAAUAUACGAGCAUGCUUACACCAUGUAAGUUGGAAAUUAAGAAAAGUAGGUUGUAUAACAUGGUCUAAUCAUUAAACAUGACGUCUAAUACAUGGCCUACCAACAAGGACAUCAAUCAAUUUCAUACAAUGUUGUACAUGAUCGAACUCACGUGCAAGAAGACCGAAAAACCACCUGAUUAAUUGACUUAAACCGCAUAUCUUUUUUAAUUUGCAAUACACAAAUUCAAAUUUGACAUAAACCCUAUAAUAUGAAGAAAAAUAUCACCGAAUCAAUAGCUAGUUUAGUAUUCUCCUAUUGGGCAAUUAUAUGUUUUGUCCACCGUCCACAUUGUAAAUGGACAAGACCUUACACCAUAUUCAUGUCGACUCCACCUGUUUCACAAUUUUAAUGUCAAUAAUCGAUUAAAACUUGUCAAAAACGACCUGUCCCAUCCUAUGGUGCAUCAUUUUCAUCUUCCUGUUUGCCGCCCAUCUCACAAAUCCAUUUAUUGAACAUAUUCUAGCAAUAGCAGAACUAUGAAUUUUUCAAUAGGUGAAUUGUGCUAGCUAAAGUUAUUAGCUAAAAAUUUCAUUAUCAUUAAUUUAUGUACUUACAGUUUCAAUAAUUUUUUUUUAGAAAUAAAAGUGUAUAUUAAAUUAUAUAAACCAUGUUAGUUAAUAAUUUUAUUGACUUUUUUUCAAUACGUUUCUUUUGUGAUAAACAAUAUUGGGAUAGGGGUAAUCGAACUUAGGACAUCAAGUGCAAUGGUAAAUAGUCUCAACUAUUGGAAUUAGCCCCUAACAAUUUCCAAUAAACUUUAACAUAAAACAAAUACAUAUUAAAUGCAACCAAAAACCACAUAUUGUCAAAAUGAAAAUAUGUUCAACAACAUAAUUGAAAAUAUAUCUAUUUUAAUGGGUAUUUUUAUUGUUGCCCUGAAACUAAAUUCAUAAAGAAUUAGAUUUGUUUUGAAUUUUAAUAGGUUAAUACAUACUGGACUAUAUUUAAAAUAAGGCAAAUAUAUAGGUUUGAUUUUUGUUUAUCCCCAAAACCUCCCUAGGUUACAGUUUGUCCUAGUUCCGCCAGUGUAUUGUAAUGAUCUAUUGACUUUGUUGAAAAUGUUUUCUUCUUUGCCAAUCGGUAAAUAAGGGUUCGUUUGGUAUCCUACUUAGAUCAAAUUUUACAAACUCAAAAACAAAUUUGAAGUCCAAAACUUAAAAUACCCGUUUAGUAAGGCCAGUUUUAAAAACCCGAACCAAAACAAACUAAAAAACACCCAAUGAUUGAAAACCGAAAAAGUGAGGUUAUAUAUAUAUAUUUUAUCUCUCUCGCUCGCUCUCUCUCCUCUCUUUCUCGUCAUUCUCUCAUCUGUCUCUGUCUCUCAUUGGUUGCUGGUUCAACGCCAUCAUUUGCAGCUCUAUCAAGCUCACAGAUUUUUCCAUUUUUUUGUUAACUUCAAUUUGAGAAUCCGGGGUUUCUAAUUUUAAUUUUAAUUUUUUAGAUUUUAAAAAUAGUUUGGAGUUCAAUACCAAAGAAGUUUUUAGAUCUUAAAAUCACUAUUUGAAAACUCAUCUUUUUAAAAAGAAUUAUAAUUUUUGAGUAGGAUACCAAACAAUGCCCUAGAAUUUCAGUGCAACAAAGCAAGAGAGAACACUAUCAUGCACGCUAUCAAAUUGCUUUUACUCUGAUUACAAAGACAAUUGAACCUAUAAUUUUACUAAUACAUAAAGCAUGAUGAAGGUAUUAAGAUGCAACUGUCCAAGAGGCUUCAAUCCGCGGCAGCACGAACAUGAGCACACUCCCUUACUUUAGCACAAAAGAUGCGCCGGUGUCCUCCAAUGUUCCAAUAGACUCCUUGAGAAGUCUCUGUGCUUCUUCUCUCCUCCUAAACCAGAAAGUGAAGCAAAUAGUCACAAGCAAUUAUGUAACAUCCAAUCCGCAUGGCAAUUUGAUUACACAGUCAAAGUACCAGUAGAUUUAAGGAAUUUAUAUGCAUCUUUGAACUCUUACACUGACCACGCACACACUGCUUUUUACUUUUAACCUCAUAAUUCAAAGUUGCAAGAAAUUAAAUAUCAACAUUUCGAUGCCUCACAUACAAGAAUAGGGGAGUUUUUCUAUAACAACUUCUACAAUGCACCAAAAGAAUAGCCUAGUAGAUUCAAGUAAUUUUACUCUAAAUAAAAUGCUAUAUAAGCUAUUCAUUUAAAUGAUCAAAGGACAGAGAAAUUUUCCUUCAACUGUUUUGGAAAAAAAAGCAAAACAUUUCAGCCUCAGACCACAAAUCUUUUCAGUAAUUGUUGAAAGCAUACCUCUUUAUAUCCUCCACAGCUUGUUUACGACGUUGUAUCUGAAGUUCUAGAAUGUGAAUUAGCGUUGCCCUAGCCUGUAUGAUAAAAUAAAUUACAAAAUAAAGAACCUCAAAUACAAACCAAUACAGAGCAUUCUAAGACCCAAAACUAUCUUACUUGAUGGGGACGCAAUGAGUUGAGAAGAUGAUGCAAGUUCUUGAAGAUAAGAGAUAUAUCUUCCACUCUCCUCGCGUACUGUGAUGGUCUCUCUACAAGAAUAUCAGCCAGCUCCAAAAUGUGCAGCUGUAAUUCUCUGUUAAGUGACCUCAGUUCCUUCUUAUAAUCUAAGGAGUAUCACAAUUUUUGUCAGAGAAGCACAAAACAUUUUAGAGGCGAAAAACAAACGCAUGCAUAUGCACAAUAUUUCUUGUUAAUUAUUAUCAAUCAAAUCAUACUUUGCAAACCAGAAGAUACAUACCCCAUAACAUUCUUCUCCUUUCUAGAGAGGACAUUUGUAUUGCACUAAAGAAGGCUCAUUAAGGGAUCAUAUUUUAAUCGUAAUGUCUGAUCUAUCAUUUAUGACAACAUUUUCUAGUAUGGAUUGGAUAUAUGCCAUAGCCUAGAAAACUAUGCCAAUCUAUCAGAAAUGUGGAGUAACUGUAACCAAGAAAGGUGUAGAUAACUGUAACCAAGAGAAAAUUUCUCAGUCUAGUAACUGUGUUCUACCUUAGCAAAGAAAACCUCUCUUUUGCUAACAACUUUCUAAAGAAAAUUAUAGUUAACUAGUUUAUAAAAAUGAUAAAUAAUAAUAAGAUAAUUCAACCAAUGCUAAGAAGAAACUGCAAUAAAUGGUGAUCGCAACAAUGCUUGAAGCAAGAAAACGUUCACAUUAAUUCCUAAAUUUCAAAAGCAGUAAUUUCACAUGACAAAACAAAUAAUUAAAACUAGAACGGAGACAUACCAAUGUUUGGGCCUUUUGGAUACAGUUGACGCACUCCCUGAUCUUCCAAGCUCGGAAGAAUGUCAUCAGUCUAUAUAAAAUAAAAUAAAACUAAUUAAGAAAAGAUUACAGGGAAAACAAUGAAAUCAUACAUUGAUAACAUCAACACGGCAAAUUAUAGAAUUACACAUAUUUUGUAGAGGAUAAUCCAAACUCAACAUUCAAAGCCAACAACUUUAAAGGUACAUAUAUGACAUUCCUGGCUAAAGCAACUGCUAUAAAGGAGAGAUGGCAUUCUUCAAACAGUAAAUUCAACAAACUUUACUUUUCACCAAAACUUCCAGCAUCCAGUCAUUAGUGACAAAAGAAAUUUUCAGAAAUCAAAUUACAUAGUUUAUAUAAAUUUUGACAGGAAGAAUGCAAAGAAUGAGAAAAGCUCACAGUGUAAUUGCCACCAUAGCAAAUGUAUGUCCCUUCAAUCGGAGGGGGCGGCUCCGGAGCUGAUUUGGGAUCUUGCAAGUAAUCUUUGUAGAGCUUAUAAUAUGGUGGUGGUGGUGGAUAUGUCGCUGUAGCCAUUGCCAGCACCUUCUGGCCAAACCUAAAUCAACCAAGUUUAAAGAAAACAAUCAUGCCAAGGGCAGCUCUCAAAAUCAAACAGAAAACAAACUGAAAUAACCUAAUAGAAAUAUUAAGAAAUCACCCAAUUAUGUACAUAGAAACACAGAAUUUGAACCUAGAAACACAGUCUCCUUUGCAUCACGACAUUGACACCUAAAGCGAACACACAGCCACACAAUUGUUUAAACCAAACCAUAAACCUGCAAUUUCCUUUUAACAGAGACAAAGUACCCACACCUCCAUCUGCAUCUCCACCACAAUAUCACCCAAACCACAAUCAAAUGCAUUCUACCAAACCAAAAUCAAGCCCAUUUAAAAAUGCCAUAAACAAAACAAUCUCAAAAGAUUACAGGGAACCCGAAACCAUCCCAUAAAUUAAAUCCACGCCUCCAUAUGUAUUAGCUGCUGAUAGAAUGUGAACUUUGCAACGUAUUGUUAUAAAUUUUUUACAUUAGCACAAGACCUUGUCAUAAGAAACAACAAAUAGUAAUAAAAUAAAAAAAAUCUAUUCCCAAAUUAAAAUCAGAAAUUCAUAACAAUACAAAUGUAAAAUUAUACACAAAGCAAACUUACCUGAACUCAAAAAACCUACUCCGGCAGCUGUACUGAAAUUGGGAUUGAUGCACAGAAGCAAUUGAUUUACUGAAAGAGAAAAAAGAUAAUUAUAUCACUCGAAAAUUAAACCUUUAACUCAGAAAACAAAUAUAAAGCUAUGGAAGAGAGAGAGAGAGAGGAAUUGGAGAAGGAAAGAGAAAAUCAGAAAUUAGGUAAGUUCAAUCCGUGGCCGAUUUUUUUUCGAGCGAGAAUGGAACCGGAACUGGGCGUUCCUGGUUGGAUUCGCCAUAACCGGAACCCUCAUCUCCAAGUUCUCUCUUGACCUCACUGAGGAAGAUGCUAAAACCUCACCUUUCGUUCAGAGGCUCAAGAGGUGAUUUCUUCUCAUGUUGUGGAGAGGGAGAUUCGCGUGCUUUCUCCAAGGACUAUGAUAACAUGAGAAGAAAAAUAGACAAGGAGGGAGAGGUUUGCUUUUUAAUAUUUAUUUUAUUCAUCAUACUUGUUGCUCAAUUAUAUUGUUGAUCCGGUUUUUCGGAUAAAAUUUAAAUAAAUAAAAAAGAGCUGCUAAACGAACCUUAAAAUUAACUGAGUACACCAUAUGAUCUAAGUACAUCUUAAUAUUUUAAUUAAAAUAUAAAAUUAACUAAGUACACCCUAUAAAACUACCAAAAAUAUCCAUAAUACACUCUAAUAUUUGUAGCAUUAUUUUAUAGUUGAUUUUCAGCUUGAUUUUUUUAAUAGUGUUUAUAAAUCUUUGACUUUUCAUAUGGAUUUAUGCUUCUACUAAAAUUGUUGACACUAAUUUUUGCAAUUCCAAGUUCUUGCAAUCACCACCUCUUUCGUUAAAAACACAAUAGGACAAGCAAUCUCUUGAUUAGGGUUGAAUAUGGUUAGUACGGUUUUCACAAUUCCAUAUAUCCUUUUUGGUCAUUUUAUAUUAGAGUAAAUCAGUAAUUCAAUAUAUACUUUUAUAGUAGGGUGUACUCAGUUAAUUUUAGGGUUCGUUUAGCAGCACUCAUAAAAAAUUGAUGUGUUUUCCACUAAAGUUUUUUAAUUGCACCUUGUAGUUUAUUAAUUAUUGCAAGUUGCAACUAGGUCUAAAAUUGUCUAAAAUGAUUUAAUUUGCAAUCGUUAAUAAACUAGAUAGUUAAAUUAUUGUGUGUAUCUGAUGUCGUAUGUGUUGAAUUAUAACACGUGCACACUUAAGGACGUAUUGUGUGUAUGUGAUGCCGUACGAAGAAGAAAUGUGGGGGAUGUAUGGGUGGGAUAAUAACUUGUUGAAAGGCAAUUACUUUAGGAAUUGCAGAAUUGUGGAUCGGCUAGUGACCCUUGGAAACCAUUUAUUGGCUUUGUGAAAACUUACUAGAAGCAAAGCUCAUAAAAUAUGCUAUGCCUCUUCUACUUGGUUCAAGCUGCUGCACGAGAUAACAAUGAGGAUGUUGUUACAUUUGGUGGAAGGGCUGGUAGUUUUCUGGUGCAAAAAAAGAAAGAAGAAGAAAAAAUAUUGUCUUUCUGAUGGCAAAACAAAAAUCAAAUAAAAUUCUGGUCAGGCACAAAUCUAAAGAGGCAACUUAUUGUUAACAAGCAAAAGAAAACAUGGCCGCAAUUCAAAAGAAAACACAAAAAACUCCAACUUAAGCCUCUAGAAAUAAACUCAAACGAUAAAAAAUAAUAGUUUCCAAGGGGGAAAAAGUUUCAGCCUUGCUUUUAUGCUAUGUUUCCUUAAGCACGAAUUCCUCUGUUUAGACUGACCAAACGGGUUGAAGUAUCCAUCUGAGACCCCCUUGCAGAUGAACUAGCUUGAUAUCCAGUCCUCCCUGACCCUCCAUAGGCAGCAUCUUGAUACCGCGUGUUGUGACCUGUUCCCCGGUACUGGCCUGUGCCUGUUCGAUCCCUUGAAUACCCACCUGCAGCUUGACCAUAUGCCAUUGAUCUAUAUCCUGUGCGCCCGGAGGCACCACCUUGCCUUCCUUGCGUGUAUGACAAGUUAUCUUGCCACCUGCCACUCACUGCAGUUGUUCCAGCACCAUAGUCCUGGCUGUCCCUACGCCUCAAAGGCUCUAUAGCACCGCCACCUAUCUUCAAUUCGGUUGCCCUUUCGUUACUUUCUGCAAUGAUUGACAAUUUCUCAGUCAAUUGGAAAGCUAGAUCCUGCAGCCUAGUGUGCUCGACAUCAUGGAAAACAAUGCAGUGUGUCGGCUGAUCCCAACUAGCACGCAGCUCAUCGUUGAUCAUCAUCUUGCUCACAAUGCAAUGAGCCUGCGCCUCUGAGAGCUUGAACAUCUGGGUGAGCUGUGCUAAACUUAGAGUCUUGUAUGCGGGGGAGUAGGUCAAGAGGUAGGUUCUCAGAGCCUCCUCCUUGAUCUUAGCCUCGAGCAUCUCAAGAACACUCUCGUGCUUCCUGAGGAGCUUCCAGACAUGAAGGGAACUGAUGACCUUAAAGGCCUUUUCGAAGUCACCUUUGCUGAGGGCUCUGGUAGCUGCCAUUACAUGAUCCCUGACAUUUUCAGGGGGUCCUGUGAAUGUUUGCUUCUCAUUCAUUUCAAGAAACCGCCUGAACGUUUUGCUAAUCACUCUGUGUUUUGUAUCGGGGAUGUUAGCUGCCGUAUUAGGCACUUCUAGCAGCAUGGCACAUAUCAAAUGAGCUGCCUCCAGGAGCUCAGGGUUUAUGUGCAUAUGGUACGGCAUCUGCCGUCUUCUCUCCAGCCUUUCCUGAAAAAUAAAAACAGAAACAAAGAAACAAAAAGAUUAGGGGGGAUCAGUUCUAUAAAAUAGAGUUGAUAGCAAAUUAGACAAAGAGCAUUACUAUUAUCUACUAUAACUAAAUAAGUCGGCACAGAAAAUCUAAUUUAAGAUUUCUUAGGCUCCAAUCAAAAUGCUCUGUUUAUGGUUUCAGCUUUCCAGAAUAUGUUGUUUCCCUCGAAUGGCUUGUUUAACCAAUUUGCUUCAUCAAAUCCUUCGGUUUGUUUCUUAAGAAUCUUGAAGAUUAUGCUAAAUUGCAAUUUGACAAAGAGCAGCACUCUUAUCGUUUCAUAAUUGUAACACCGGAAACUAAGCUAAUCUUGUGGCAGGAAUCAAAUUUACAACUUGUGGAAUCAGUUAAAGAACAUUCAAAGUUUUGUGUUUCAAUGACUAUAGACAAACACAAAAGGCACAGAAGCAGAGAAAUGCAAUAUAUAUACUCCUUUGCAAGAACAACACGCAGCCAUUUUCCCAUCCAAUAGCUCAAAAAAGAAAUCAAUUCACACCUAAGGUAAGAACACAUCGGGAGUUUCCUUGGGAUCUAGUCUGACCAAACCAAAAGUAACACAUCUUACAAAAAAUAUUAGGUCACAUCUGCUUAAAUUUUUUUUUCAAAUGGGACAUAAGAACAUUAAUAUUGGUAAAUCUGUUUGACGACAUAUGACCUUCAGCUAGUUCUGGAUUAAUUAGUUAUCUGUUUAUGGGUUUUCCCCUUAGAGCCUGCUUGUGGAAUUUUGAUUAUAAAUCUAUACCAUCAGUGCGCCUAAUGAAUUCAGGUCGUAAAGAAAGUAUGAGGAAAACAUAGAGAAUAACUCUAUAGAAAAACAAAACAAAAGAAUUGGUACCUGUUCAGGAGUUUUCUCAUGAUAUCUACUUUGGGAGACACCUUGUGCAAGCAACUCCUUUACUCUUCCACCAGAAUAUAGCUCAGAAAGGCAGCUAUGCCCUUCAGGGAUCAGUCCGCUCCGAAAUGCACACAGACCAAGUUGUGCCAUUGCCCUAUUAAACAGUAUUUGGGUGGAAAUGUCCAUAUGCGAGAUACUAUCUUGCAGGUGACUCAUUAGCAUCAAGUCACGGGCAAUAGAGAACUCGUCCAGGAGAGCAUGGUGGUAAAUGUCACAAAGCAUUGCUCGAGCUUUCGUCCGGUCAUCUCCAUACUUAUAUAUGAGGGAAACUAGAAUAUCCAUCAAGGCCCUAAUACUCUCAGUAAAAGUAGGUUUCCGAGGAACGAGCUCAGGAGUUAAAACAAAUGCAGGUGGACCUCGACUUUCCUCAACUGAUUUAGGCUCCUGGCCUUCACCACCAGUUUCACCAUCUUCUGUCUGCUCUGCCAAUAUCUUCAUGGCAGCAUAAACUUCUUGCGGUUUAUAAUACACGAGCUCAACCCGCCUUAGGGCCACCUUUGCAGCAGCUUUAAACCUUCCAGCUUUCUCGAGAUACUCUUGAACAUUUUGAGCAAGAGUCAAAAACAUAGGUUCAUCUCUGAGUCUUUCAAUGUACUCACGGGUGUGAGGGUCAAUGCACUGCAAGCUCUUGAAGAACUCAGUAUCUAUCCUUUCCACAAAGGCCACCAAGUUUCCCCAGACUCUGAUUGUCUCGUUAUAAUCUGGUCCCUUCUGGGAUUCAUUCUCAUCAGGCUCAAUCAUGUCAUCCACCGUAAUGUUAGGAUAUUGCAUCAGAAUAUCAAGUAUAACAAGCAUAUUCUGCACACACUUUUUCCAUACAUUUAUAGGCAUGUGCCCACUGAGACCAGGGUUCACAUCAAACUGAGCAGAAACAAGACUGAAAAGAAUCUCAAGCUUCUGUGCUGGGGUCUUAGCAACCUUUGUCAAGAAGGUAAGCUGCUCAACCUGUUCAAACCUUCCAGUUCCCUUCCUGCCCCGAGCCGCCACAACCUCUUUGAAUUUCUUGUUAAUCAUAUCCCAUGUGAUCUCACUAGGGUCCCUCAUGAACUGCUUGUCCAUGAGCUUAUCCUUCUUACUCAUUUUCUUCACCCAACCAUCCUCGUUGUCCCCAUCACCUUCUUCCUCUUCUUCACCAUCUCCACUAACCGAAAGCGCAAUAUCUUUUGGAUCCUCAAUUUCAGAACCUGUCUCUUCAUUCUCACUUGUCUCAUCUUCUACCCCCCCUUCCUCCUCGCUCUGCUCCGGAUUCUCCCUGUACUUACUAAUCAAAUCCUCAUAGUGCUUAUUGUUCUUCUUCAGCUUCUGUUUCAUAGCGUUCAAGGCCUUGGCAUUGCUGCUACUCAUCUUCUUCUUAGCAUCCUUAUUUGCAAGAGCCUGAGCCAAAAAGUCCUCCAACAAAACAAGCGCUUUGAUGUACAGAGACGGUACUUUUUCAGACUCAGUCACACGCAUCACCUUCUCAAGCUGCUUGUUCAUCUUGUCAAAGCAGUCCUGCAUGCUCACCCAGUCAUUUAUGUUCUUUGCAUUCUUUAUUUUGUCAACAGUGGCAUUCAUCUCAUUGAAACGUUUGUCCUUCACGGAUCUAACAACACGCUUCUCAUCCUCAGAUUCAUCGUCGGGAAGCACAUUGGUGCGGUAUUUGUUGUCAAUCUGUUUGGAAGUCUCAACGCUUGUGGCUUCAGCCUCCUCAUCAUACUCACUAUCAGCAUCCUCCGAAUCACUACCAGUCUAAAAUGACACAUGAAAAUGUUAUUAAAAAAUAAAGAAAACAAGGAACUAGCACAUAACAUGCAUCUUAACAUUUCAUCAAAAUGUAGAAUCCAGGAGUUAAGAAGAAAAUUUGAUCCAACUACGGAGGUGAAGUACAAACCUGGUUCCAGAACUUCGAUUCCAUUCUGUCCUACAACAAACUGAAACAGGUCGAGAGAAAAUCACAAGAAUCUGUUUGGUUGAUUAUGCGAAACAGCUUCGAAAAUCAGCCUCAAAGUUUAUCUUCCUGUUCAUUACAAGCCAAACCCAAUUCAUGAAAAUUGAAAAAAACCAAAAAGCAAACAACUGAUUCGGAAACAAAAUCAACACACCAGACAUAAUUCUCAAAUUUACAUACUGUUUUAACACGUUACAUGAUUUAUUAUACAAAUUAAAUUAACCAAAACUCAUUAAAACAAUAACUAGAUUGCAAUUUCUUUUGUUCUUUUACUUAGGCCCUGAAAAAUCACUAUAUGAUAAGCAAACACAUUCAUCCAUCCAUGUAUAUAUAUAUAUAGAGAGAGACAGAGACAGAGACAGAGACAGAGGGAGAGGGAGAGAUUGAAAAUGAAUUGGAGGCUUACAAUGGACGAAGAGAGCUUCCAAGCUUUGGUAGCAGAUUGUAAGGCAGAGCUUGUUUGUGUUAUUUUAAUUGAUCAGAGACAGCAAAGAAUGCCGAGGGUUUGAUUGCUGGUUGAGAAACUCAAUAUAUAAAGGGAUUCGUUUGGAAUCUGCUUUUUUAUGAAACCGUUUUGUUUUUCACGUGAAAAUAGGAAAACCAAUCUCACCAAAAAUAAAAAAGGAAUGUUUUAUCUGAAAAGGAAAAAAGUUGUAUGCAAAGCGGUGAUUCUUUCUUUUUAUAAAUAAAUAAAUAAAUAAAUAAAUAAAAAGCAGUGAUUCUUUCUCGGACAAGUUUUUUUUUCCGUAGCCCCCAAGCAAGACUAGACCUCUCCAGCUAACAAAUUCCAUUACCGUAAACUACACAACUUGGUCCCCAAGCAAGACAUAAAUUAAUCGUAUCCAUUUUUUAUUUUCACAAGUGAUAGUGGGGGAAAAUCGGACCUAGGACCAGGCCCGGCUCAUAGGGUAUGUGGGUUAGGCGACAGCACAACGCCUCAAAAAAAUGAGGCCUCCUACAAAACCUUUUAGCCCAAGAGUUAUAGUAACAAAAAGGCCUUUUAUGUGUGUAACUCAUACUUUUUCGGCUUUAUUUCUUUUACUUUCAUACAUUGGGCCUAUUUUACAUAAACUAACAAACUUAGCACCUAAGCUUGAAACUUUUCAUUUUAACUUUUGUUCAAAAUAAGUUAAGUGUUGAACAUAAAAGACCUCAAACCUUAGCACCAUUGCUAUCUAAAUGGUGAAAUGGUAUCUAAGAUUGGUUUAUUUGGAUUGCAGAUUAUGUGGGCAAAGCUGUACAGGUAAUUCAUUUUUUCCUUACGUUACAUUUCAUGCUUUUGCAUAUUUCUGAAGGCAGUCAUAUAUUGGUGCCUAUUGGUGUUUUUUGACAGUUCCGAGUUAAGUUUUCUCCAAAUGUGAUCACUCUAUAUGUUACUCUUUCAUUUCUAUCUUUCAGAUAUAUAGAUGAAUUAUAUAUCAUAGUUACUAAACUCUAUUAUUGAUGUGUACAUGUACUUGCUACUGAAAGGAAUGUCGUCCCAGUCGAAACCACGAAACCUACAGGUUCAUCUGGGAUGGGGGAAAGGAGAGCUGAACAACUUGUCAUGCAAGCUAGGAAAGAUGAGAAUGACAAAGGAGUUGUAAGAGGGUGGAAAGUGGGAAGUGAGCGGAGAGGUGCUGCAACACUGUUAGAACAGAGGGGUGGUUUGCAAGAGGGCUAUUUAAAUAUCAGCCUAAGAAGAGAGUGAUGUUUUCUAAAGUGCAAGGUCCUUUCUUCAAGGUUGCUUGGCUUCUUCGUGAAAUGGCUAAGGAAUAAGUUGGGAUGGAUGCACUUCAAUUAUGAAUUAUAUUAUGUUGUUGUUGACAUUAUAGUUUGGACUUGUGUAGUUGAUGCUAACAAAAGACUAUGAGAACAUCUCUCGAUAUUGGCCUACACAUAAUGAGUAUGGGAGAAUCACAAUAGCACAAAGAGAAGGAAAUCAUGAUCUUCAUUCAUGAAAUAAUACAUGAUAUUUUUUUCUGCUUUGGGAGCAUUUGGAUGAAAAAUACUUAAUGACCGAACAAACUCUCCAAAUUUACGCUUGAUGUCAAACAAGUCAAACACCUGCAAUGAGAAUAUGCAAAUUGUUAGAAAAACAUCACAAAAUUUCCAGCAGAUCAAACUCAUCCAAAUUACAAACAUACAAUCCCACAUUUCCAUACAAAUACAAAUAAACUUUGAUUCCCAAUUGAUUAACACAUAUUAAACCAGGAUUUUCAAAAACUCUAAAAACAACAAAAAAGAAAAAACAAUUAGGCAUCAUUUGCCACCAUCUUCUUCUUCUACUCCCUGUUUUUGUCAUGAGAGAUAUGAACCCAUUAAAGUCAAAAGCCAUGACUCAUGAGAGAUAUGAACCCAUAUAUAUAAGCUCCCAUUAACCCAAUAUUCUUUCAAUUUCAAAUGAGUAAGGUACAAAAAUACUCUUAAAGUAAAACAAAAUUUAAUGUAUUUAUACUUGUUUCAUGUAAAGUUAAAACUCGAUAAAUGCACAUAUUACCAAAUGCAAUUAGCAAAGCUGCAAAUAAAGAAAUUAUAAAAACCAAAACUACAUGGCUUGUAUGCUAUUGAACCUGCAAUUAUGCGUCGAUUUUGUUGAAUAUGCAGUUAGGGAAGAAACUAGAAAAUAGGUAGCUGACCAUAUCCAAAUGAUCAAGCCACACUUCGCUAAGUAUGAGGUCAUACACAGCCUCUACACCAAACGAAAAAAAUAAUUAAUUGCAAUUUGAAAUAAUAAUAAAAUUGAAUCAACAUUAAGUUCUUACCAAAGAAUUGUGUUCCCAGCAUUUCUGCCACAUGAGAAAUGCAACUGGACACCAAUUUUCGUACUUGCAGUUCCCGCUUCCAAUUGUAACUAGAAGAAGUCCAACUUUUUUGGAAAGUUGUUCCCAUGGAUUUUGUAACAGAGGUCCGUGAACAUCUUAUCAUCUCCCAAAAUGACACGAGCAGAGUGAGGCAGACCGGGACAUCCCAAUAGUGUCCUCACGUUCCUCAUCCAUACCCCAUGAAGAGUAAUAUUUAGGUUAUCUUUUUAUAAAACCUCAAAACAUGGAGCAUGACACUAAUAAUUGAAGGAAGUUGAGGUUCCACCCCGAAACCAAUUGGCAAUGGGGAGGAGUAGCCCAACUCCUUAUAAACCCAGGCUAGGUCCCUUAACAUUUCAAUGUGAGACAAACACUCUCAACACGCCCCCACACGUGUGGCGAACUUUCAAGCCUAACACGUGGACAACACAUAUUGGGUGACGUGGGAGCACGUGUGGCCGUUGGGCCCAACACGUGAAGCCUUGCUCUGAUACCAUGAAGGAAGUUGAGGUUCCACCCCGAAACCAAUUGGCAAUGGGGGGGAGUAGCCCAACUCCUUAUAAACCCAGGCUAGGUCCCUUAACAUUUCAAUGUGAGACAAACACUCUCAACAAUAAUAUCGCUGCAACAUUAAAAAAUGAAUACGAAUAAAUAAAAAUGAAAAACAACAUACUGCAGUAAAAUAAAUGAAUACGAAUAAAAAGAAUUGAAAAUUAUUAUACCUGUAUAUCGUACGCAGCUCCAGGACGAUAUAUUAGCUAUAUGGAUCCAUCAACUCAUAUGUAUUAUCUACCCAAUAUCCAAAACAGCAGUCUAUUGAUUCGAAAGAGACAAGUGUACUGCAAUCGAAAAACCUUUAGAAGAGAUUAACCGGCACCACGUAACGGGAGUCAAAACGCAACAAUAACAAACACCAUUCAUCUACAACUGAAUCAGCGUUAUGAAAACAAUGUAUACACCAUGAAUGGUGUUUGUUAUCGUCGCUAUGUGACUCCCGUUACGUGCUGCCCGUUAAUCUUAUCCAAAGGUUUCACGAUUGCAAUACGCUUGUCUCUUUCGAUGCUGCCUCGGAUAUUGAGUGGAUAAUACAUAAUAUUAACAAAAUAUAUAUAUAUUAGGAGAUUAAACUUAAUAAAACAAAAAUUAUAAAAUACUUACCUCGUUAGUACGAUUUUCCCCGCUUCUAUAGUUGUCCAUCACUUUUGCCAGGGCAUCUCUCCAUUUUCCUAACUCUUUAUUGAGAAUUUUCCACCUACUAAAUAAUGUCAUCUCCGUACGAGUAGACCCCGGAAUUUUUUCACAAAAGGAAACAUCUUCCAUGGUGCUCCAAGCCCCUCCGGUUUCAAUAGAGAAGCCAUAAAAAUAUGAAAUAAAAAUACAAGGUGAAAAAGAGGAAAAUGUUGAGUAAAAAGUGAAUAAUAGUAGAAGUAUAAUGAAAUGUAUGAGGAUUGGUGUUGAAAAUGAAGGAUAUUGAUAGGUAUUUAUAGAAGAAAAAAAAUCAGAAUUUUUAAAAAAAAAUUUCGAUUUUUUUCAUAAUUUUAUUGCCCAAAAAAUGCCCGCCGUUGGAUUGGAUUCGGAGAAGCUGAUCAGAGUGCUGAGGGCGCGACACGUGGCUUCUUCCUGUUGGAGCUGAUGUCAGCGUGCGCUGGUUCAAAUUUUUUUUACCGUUGGCGCGUUUCAUAAUUUUAUUGCCCAAAAAAUGCAAGCCGUUGGAUUGGAUUCGAAGAAGCUAAUCGGAACGCUGGGGGCGCGACACGUGGCUUCUUCCCGUUGAACGAGCUUGCUGACGUCACAACUCACGGGCUUCACCUCGGGUUGAACUGGCCUUCAGGCUGGCCCGAGUUGGUGGGACCCACUCCUAGCCCUGGCUUGGGCUCACCGCUGGAACGAAAUUUUUUUUUUCCCCCUCAGCCUUGGGCUCAGCUCCUGGUUGGACUUGCUCUUAGAGCAUUUCCAGUGGUCGGGUUUUGAGGAGGGCUUGGGGGUGUUUGGGCUAAAAACACAUUUCCAGCAGCAAAGGGAGGCCCGGGCGCGAGGUGGGACCUAGCAACUCGGGUUGGCCCGAGGGCAGGGCUGGCCUGAGCUUCAACCCGAGGUUUGAGCUGACGUCAGCGUGCCUAUACAAUGUCCUCAUUCACGUGGCGCGCGCUGGGCUCUCCGAUUAGAUUUUUUUUCUCUAUACCUCAUUUUCAUUUUCAACAUUUAAGUAAAUGUCUUUGUCCUUUUACUUUCAUUUAUUUUUAUAUUAUUCCAUUUACUUAAAUUUACAAUGUAAAUAAGGAAGUACCCCCCAUUUGGAUUCAAAUAAAAAUAUUAGAAAAUCAAAUUCCCAUCAAAUCAAAAUAUGAAAAAAUCAGUUUUAGUGCAAAAUAUGAUUUAUGCUACAAAUGAUGGCUCAUUAAGUCAAUAUAUACUUCAUACUAAAAUCCCAUAAAAUCAAGUUUUCUUAUUUGAUGUGUAAGGAAUAAAAGUCGCCAAAAAUUAUCUUGAGAAAAUGAUUAUUCUGAAAAACCAUUUUUCAUAUUGAGUCAAUAUUGCACCUCCGCUAAAAAAAUUUUGGGUCCGCCAGUGUCUAUAAAUACCAACCAAUACUCUUCACUUUUAACACCAAAUCCUCAUACAUUUUUUUUUUCUAUAAAUACCAACCAAUACAACUAAUAAAAUAAAAUACAACUAAUAAAAAAAAUCUUAUCGAAAAAUAUUAUCCAAAUUAAUUGUUUAUGUAAAAACAAAGUUGUGAAAAAAAAUAAAAAAAUGAAUAGUAUUUGCCAUGACAAAGGGUAAUUGCUGAAAACACACAUUGCUUAAUAUAGCAAGGGUAGCUACUAUUCACGUGAAUAGUAGCUGCCAUGGCCAUGACAAGGGGCAAACUGCUGGAAAGUGCUCUUAGAGGAGAGGCUUAACUAAAAUGCAAAUUUUUUUAAAAAAAUUGUCACGGUUUGCGAUAACCGCUAUUUUCCAAAAUCAAAUACCGUAAUGACAACAGCAAUUGCAGUUCGGUUACUAAAAUCGUAAUUUUCGAUCAGUUUUCAGUUAUUGCGGUUCCAAUACGGUACAAUGUCGGUUAAUUUUUGUGAUUUUUGAGUCUAAAAUGCCACCCCUACAUAUACCUGUAAUUCGGCCGGAUUGGAUCGAAAAUAGUCAUUCCAAUAUCCGUCCAAAAUCCUUCGGAAUUCAAUAAACUCUUCCGAUUCCGAUUCCAAAAAAUUCCGGAAAAAUUCAGAACUUUCUGAUUCUGAAGUUUUGAAUUCUUCAUAAUAUAAUCAUACUUCCUUUCUCAAAUCCUAGACCCAAAAAUGGAACAUCCCGCUGCUUCGUUCUUUCUCUUUUUGCCUUCUGUGAGACCCACUCCGAUGCGGACGUCAUAGCCUCCACCACAGUCAAACCUACCACAGCCUCCAUCCACCAUCCACCAUUCCCCCACCUAAUAACUCAGCAUUUUCACACAAUAUGAAUUCAACAUCUCCAAAGACAGAGCACAAGUAUCACUGUCAAACAGAACACAAUUAAACCCAAUCACUUAACCAACCAAUCGAACCCAAACAAGAAUAAGGAGAGUGAAGGAAGAAGAAGAGAUAGAGGAGCCAUGGAAGAGAGAGAGGGAAGAGAAAAAAAAAAAAAAAAAAAAAAAAAAAGGGUGCGGCGGCUGCAAAUGGAAAAAGAAAAAGAAAAAAAGAUGUGUUACUAGGGUAAGAACGUGAGUGUUGGAAGAGAGAGAGGGGGAAAAUAAACAAAUGAGGGUAAGUGGGAAAUUGAGAAAUUAAAUAAAGAAAAUAAAGAGGGAUAGAUAAGUGGGAGAUGGAACAUUUCCUUUUUUUUACUUUUAAUUUUAUUUAUUUAGCUCUGUACUUUUGUUUUUAAUUUCUGAUAAUAAUAAAAAAAGGUUUUUAAUUUUAAUAUAUAUUAAUAUAUACAUAUAUAUAUAUAUAUAUAUAUAAAAGACAGAGAAUGUGUGCAAGGAAGCUUAAGUUAGACUUUUGAAUUCUUUAUUUUUUAUUUUUUUUCAUUAUUGUGCUAAUUUUGACGUACAUGGGUUUAGAAUCUCUUCUUCCAAAUGAAGCCUUACAAGAGGGUGUACAUAUAACACGUAUCUAAAGUGGUGGAAAUAUGAAUGGGAGGUUGAGUUGUGUACAUGAUGGAAAUUUUAAAAAUAACAUAAUGGAUUAAAAGUUUACAAAAGGAACUAAUACUAUUUGUUCAUUCAAUAUCUUAAUAUGUUAGUCUUGCUCUAUACAAUUGGAAUACUAUAAUUGUCAAGCUCUAAUGAAUAUAUUUAUAUUAUAUGUGGUGUUUCAUGUAAUUAAAGUUUAAAUGAGCACGAGUCUUUGUGUCCAGUUUAAAAACUGUGCUCUAUGUACACGAAAUUGGCACAAUUGUUUGUGUUUUAUAUGAAAAGAGCACAUAUAAGACUUAUUUGUGCUUAAUAUUAGGAAGACGGGCACAAUACUGUAUUUGUGUUCUUAUGUUCGUGCUUGUUGACCAGUUUUGUAGUAGUGUGUGCAAGGGGUGAAUGUGAAUUUUGGGAAUGGGCUGGAUGUGCGAGCGAUCAAAGCAAAUAAUACCCGGUUUGCUGCGGAAGAUCAAUCACUUGGAAGAAGAAACAAAAAAAAUAUGAGAAACAUAAGGGGGAAAACCCAUGGUUUUGGGUGUCGUUUGCUUUUUUCUUGAUCAUUUGGUUGGUUUGUGCCAAAGAAAAUGGCAAUUAUGGUAGUGGAGUUUUAGUAAAAUCAGUGUCUUCAAAUUGGUUAAAAUUUUGAGUUACAGUACAUCCACAAAUGUUCACAUUAGCCAUUAUCAAAAAAUAAUUAUUACAAAGACUUAACUAGUCAUUGGGUGACAUUCUUUACUCACUAAUCACUAAUCAUCCCACUAAGCCUAUCACAAUUGGUCAGACUUCUCCCAGACCCAGGUUAAGUUUUCUGGUCCAACUUUAUGUUGAAAACAUGGUCUGAAAUUAGAUAGCAAAAGACAACAGAACGAACAACUAGAAAGAAGAAUUUAUAUCAAAACUGCUUUUUUUUUUCCUCUUCGUGUAACCAUAUACAUUAUAUAUUCAUACAAAUUGUAUGAAUUCUCUCUAUAUACACUUAUCUGCUUUUUUUCUUGUAAACAAUGUACACCAUAUACACCCAUCUGUUUCGUUUGGCAUCCCAGACAAAACAGAUAAAAUUCUCUACAGCAUUUACAUGAUCUUCAACGAAUGGUGUAUAAAUGAGCAAAUGGCAACGGAUUUUCUUUUCGUGCAGGUUUUGAAACUCCAGGAAUCCCAAACACAUUCCAAGUUCGAACUGUCUCAUCCGCGGCUGCAGUGGCCACAGUGCAUCCAUCUGGGCUCUGAAAAUAUAAACAACAGAAGUUACAAACAAUUAGAAUAUGUAACUACCAUAAGAAGUUGCCAUGAAAAAUUAUUCCAAAUGAAAAUCAAUCCAUGAAAUCAAAUACACAAACAGAAUUGAAUUCACAAAGUGCAAAUUAAAGUCCAAAUUAGUACCUGAGUCAUGAAGAGAACUCUGGAGGUAUGGCCAGUGAGCUCUGCCAUCCUCACCAUUGACGGGUACUUCCAAAGGAUAAGCUCAUUCUUGCUAAAACCAUGACAACUAAGCAAUUCACGCUCAUAAUUGUUCCACAAAAGACCACACACCUGCGAGCCAGUGUCAACCGAGCUCAAGCACGAGCCUGUUUGUGUGUUCCAUAUCUUAAUGCACCGGUCAAGUUCACCACCACCAGAGGCCAACAAAUUCUCUUGAAAUGGACACCAAGCAAGGGCCUUGACUGCUGCAGUGUGGUCUUCAAGCCUUUGAAGCCACUGUCUUGGUGAAUUGGAAGAGGCUGUUGACCUGUCCCAUAUGAAGAGAACAUUAUCGUUCCCUCCACUAGCUAAAUGCUGGCCUGAGGGUGACCAUUUUAAUCCACAGAUCUCGGCCUCAUGACCUUUGUAGGUUCCAACAAUGUGGGAUCUCACUCUUACAUCGUUGUUUAUAAUUCUACCAUCCAUUCCUCCUGUAGUAAGAAUGCGUUUGUUCCAGGCCAGUGAACCUACUCUUCCAUGGUGACCACCUCUCAAUGUUCUUAUCUGCAGUAACAAAAUCAGCAGUAGAUUAGUAUUAGAACCAAGGUUUCAUUUUCUAAGGAAAACAACCAACAAUAAUAAGCAACAACAAUGUUCUUACCAGUCUAACAGAGACAGAAUCCCAUAACUGGACCCAGGAAUUGUCCAAGCCGACGGCAAUAUGUUGCCCAUCAAGAGCCCAGCUGAUGCUUGUAACGGGACCAUCUUCAUCAUCAAUUGUGACGAGUUUUAUAAUGGAAUGGUUAGAAGGAUUCCAUAGGUACACUGAGUUUUCAAGAGCAAUUGCAAGAAUGUUGCUGCUGCUCCAGUCUAGUAAAUUCGAGUAGAAAUUAUCUACAACACCGGGAGCGUCCAUUGUUUUCUCUGGACCCUGCAAAAUCAAUUUGGAAGAAUUAGAACAUAAUCCACAAAGCAAAAUCAAUAUGAUCAUCAUUACAGACACAAUCCUAAGCACAAUUAGAUUCAAGUAUGAUGAUAUUAAUGCAAUUAUUAUACCUGAGGAACCCGUCGAGAGGGCUUGGUAGAUUUGGCCUUAUGAAGAGGGGGUGAAAGCAAUCUCCUCGGAAUGGCUUCAACUGGGGUGGGGGGCUUGUUCUUGAAUGUGAAGAUUCGUCCUCUGUUCAUGUUGAAGGUCUCAGUCAGUAGCUUCUGGUAUGGAGUGCUUGCAGCCUCCGGGUUCUCGAUUCCCUUUCUCCCUCCUCUGACCAUGUAAUGCGCGUAAUCAAGGUCCAGUGCCGCCCGAUUGGGUAUAAACCUAUCCAACUGUAAAUGCCAAACAGAUUUUAUUAGCCAGAAGAAAACCAAAAACCAGAAGCGUUAAUAAAGCUCUGUUUGGUUUCAAAGAAAAUGCCAGAAAAGUGAGAAUCUCUCAGACUUAGUGUAUCCUUAAACAGAACAUGUGAUUGGACAACUAGCUUAACUUUGUGAGUUUGAAAAACAAAAAACCCAGAAUUGUGUUUUGCUUGCGCUUGUUUUUCCUAAGUAAUCAAACAUAACGAUUCAACGCAAUUCUUUAACAAAUAAAAACCCUAGAAUUCCAAACGGACAGAUAAUCAAAAUACAACUAAAAUUCAAAAAAAACCCAGAAAAGAUUCACUUACAUUUUCCCAAUUAGGCUUUCUCAUAAGGAAGUUUUGUUCUCCAAGAGGGUUCCUGGUGUUCCUCGAUGAACUCAUUUUCCUUGUAUCGCUGUGCGUGAAAACGAAGCUGAGGCAAAUUGAAUGCGUGAAAACGAAGCUAAAGCAAAUUGAAGGAAACUGAAUGAAAGUGGGUUUCAACUACAGACUUGGAUUUAAAUAGGCAUCGACCGGAGUACAGUUGUAAAUUUUUGUUUCACGAAAAUCCUUGUCCUGCAAGGAAAACCCUCGAGCGGACCCCAGCUGGUCAGCUCCUUUAAACAAAAAUUCUUGAUUUUCCAAAUUUACCCUUGCAUUUUUUAGAUUUAUUUUAUUUUCACCAAGGUUUUUUUUUUAUACGAAAUUUUCACCAAGGUUACAAUUUAAAAGUAUAUGUCAUUUUACACUUUUCUCAUCUUAUUAAAAAAAUAAAUCUGGUGUCACGUAUUUUUUUUUCAACUUACAAACUUUGUUAUCACACACUAUUAAAGUGACAUGAAAAUUUGAACCUAAGAUUAAUCUACAUGUCAAGACAAUUUUUUACUGAAUUAAACUCCUUUAAUGGGUGAAACUUUCAUAAUCUCAUAAAUCCCACUUAGUUAAUAAAAAUGUUAAAAGAGAACACAUUUUAUUACAGAAAGAUAAAUUAGUACAUUCACAAUGUGUUGAAUUGAAUACACCCAUAAAUUAAAUUAAAUAAAAAAGACCAUAUUUUGCACUUGCCCAUAAAAGAGUUAUAAAACUCCAAAGCUGUAAAGCAUUUUAGAUAUUUUUUUUUAAUAAAAGUUAUGAAACUCUGUUUUUCAAUAACAUUUAUGUGGUUUAUGAGUAUGGAACUUGAAUUGUUUUGCAUGGUAAUAGAAAUACAUUUUUUGUGCUAUUUUCAAUUUUCAAUUUAUCUUUUAUAAAUUGUUCAAAACUUUAAUGGCCCAAACUUUAUAAUUCCUUGGAACCAAAAAAAAAUUUCAAAAUUCAUAUUUGAUACAACCAUUGUUGUAAAUGAUGGAUGACCCACAUGUUGAAAACGUAGAGUAACAUUGAGUGAAAUACUAUGUUUUACGGAAAGUUGAUGACUUGUAGGCUUAGUCACUAUUUACAAAUAAUAAGAAGCAAUUAUGAGUUAAUGUUGUAGAGUGAAUGCUCUGAUUGUGAAGCAUAUAUCAUCUGCCUAUAAAUAGAGGCAAUCUUCAGACUUUGAGAGACACAAAUCCGAAGAGAAAGAGAGAGAGAAAUCUAAGAGUUGGAAAGCUUUAUUCGAGAGAGAAAAUUCUAUCAGUGUAACACCACAAGAGCAAAUACAAUCACACCCAAUAUUCAGUGAUACUUUCAUACUCGGCCUAUUUUAUAACAACCAAUUGAUUUUAAAAUUUGUGUUAAAAAAAAAAACUAUGAGAAAAAAAGAGUCCUGUUGUGAAGCGGACAAGAAACACACUGCCUAAAACGCUAUAUAAAUAGAGAAGAUUCAAAUGUCUCGUAUAUAGAAUUCUCUCUCUUUUUGUUGUUGUCCCAGUUAUAGACCAAUCAAUUAUUCAAUUGCCAAAACCCUAAUCAUAUCGGUUCCUUUUCGGGUUUGGUGUGUUAUGUUUUCCUGCUUUGUAUAUAAUCACAGUUUUAUAAGAAAAAAAAAUUUAUACACCUGUUCUUUCGUUUGAUUUAAAUAUGGUAGUUCCAUUAAACUAAAACAACAAAAAUACAUUAACUAUGAAACAUUAAAAAAAUAAAAAUAAAAACCAUCAAACUAUAAGAAUUAAGCUUUUUUUUGAAGAAAGUGUCGAAUUAAUUAGAUAAGGAGAAUGCUAGCAACUUUCUCUGUAAUCCUCUCCUUUUUCCUUAUGACAUGUGUCACUUUUUCUACACUUUGUUAGAGAGAAGAUUGCUAGCAUUUCCCAUUAAAUAAAUGUUGUUCCAAAGCAAAUUAAUAAUUUUUAAUGUUAAUGUGUGAUUUUUAUUUGGGCCUUCAAUUUUUAAACUCUUAAGAAAUUCAUUGUAAUAUGGGCCUGACCAAUUACACAUAAUAUAUUCGAGGCCCAGGCUCAGGGUUGGCCCUGAUGCAAUUACCAUAGAAAAAUCUAGAGGCUUAGGACAUUAUAUUGUGUAAAUGCAAUCAUUAACAUUCUUAAUACAGGCGUAUAACCAAUUUAAAACAAAAGAGAGUAUUUUCAAAAACAAAAGAGAGUAUUUUCAAGAACAAAAGGACACCAAUGUUUUUCUUUUUGUUCUCUAAAAACUAACCAUGGCACUAAUGCUAAUGUUAACCUAGGAAUUCCCAUUUCAGCCCCAUUAAGGCGAUAAAUGGGGUUUCCUGUGUUGCUUUUACUUUGAAGAAUCUACCAUUUCAUUUCGCUUCCUAAUAUCAGAGAAGUCUUUGACAAAUAAGUUGCCCAUCAAACAGAAACAAAGAGCCCAAUUCUUAAGGGGUGAAAUUCUACAGAGUAGAUUGCCCCCAAUUGUUUAGCCCUCAUAUAGCCUCUCUUUUCCUCUGUCACACAGAUUCAUUUACUUUGGUUAAUACAUAUCUCAAGGGAAAGCAUCACAAAUAAAACAGGGAGGGGGGAGAGAGAGAGAGAGAGAGAGAGAGAGAGAGAGAGAGAGAAUUAUGUAUGUAACACAGUAAUAAUUAUGUCCACAAUAACCAACUUAGAACAAGAAGCUUUUUUGCCAUGUGUUCGAAUUUAUCAACAAAGACAUGCAACUCAAAUGCUUUCAAGUAUCAAGACUCAAUAAAAGCCCGAACAAAAGAGUUUGCCUAAACCGAAAAUACGAUUUAAAGACUGCCACCCCGUAGUGCAAGCACCAGAUGAAGGACAGAGCCCCCCUCAAUGUUGUAGUCUUUAGCUGUUUUGUCAUCUCCAAGCUGCUUGCCAGCGUAGAUAAGCCUGCAAACAGUGUAAAAUAAAUUAGAUAUUUGAAUCAAAUAUUACAUUACAAAUCAUUAAACAUCAAAAACAUCUCCUGACUUGUUUAGUUGGCCAUUAAACAUGUGGCCAAACAAUACCUUAAUAGGAGCUGUCAAGUAUAAAAUUAAUAAAAAUAACAAUGUUGCAGAUGCUGAGCCAUUUCAAAUAACAUGAGCUAAGAAGACAAACAAUAAGAGCUAUGUAAGAUUCAAUAACAAGAAGGCCGUGCCAUUUCUAAUAACAUGACCUAUGAAGACAAACAAUAAGAGCUAUGUAAGAUUCAAUAACAAGAAGGCCGUGCCAUUUCAAAUCCCCAAGAUUUUGAACCAUCUCUCACAAAAAAUUCAAAACACAUGUUGAAUCACACAAGAAGACAAUAUCCAAUUCAAACUAGAAGCAACUAAAAUAUCCCAAAUAGGAGUAUAAACAAAAGUUAUAUGUUGACAACCUAUUAUUUUGAACAAUCUCACCCACUGGAAAAGAAAUUCUCAGUGCUAUAGAGAUAGAGAGCGUAAUUCAUGAAUCAAAGCCUUUUAGAAGUAAAGAAAUAAUGAGUCGGUGAAACAUCCAACACUAAAAAGACAAAAUGGGCCAAUGGGUUCCCACCACAGUGGUGGUGGAUUCCCCCUCCCCCCAUGGCACCCAGUAUCAAACCCCAAUAGGGUUUUCUUUCCUCCAGUGAUACCAAAAAAAAAGGGCACUAAGUUCAUGCAUACUCACCGCCCAAUUGUAAUGCAAACACACAUAGCUAGAUCAAGGGAAAAGCAAUAAUCUCAGUACAUCAAUUUUUUAAUUCAUCAAAUUUACUCUAGUCAUAAGAAAUUCCAUGACCACAUGCAGCAAAACCCAAAUUAUAUUAUAUUUACCUGAAAAAUGGCAUGAUAUAUAAAUACACCGUGAAGUGAAAUGAUUAACAUCUAAUAUAUACUGAUGAAAAGACGAUGAAAACUCAGAAAUAACUUGAGUUCAAGCAACACAUUAUUUUAGUGAAAUAAAAUAUAAUAAUAAAAGAAAAUAUACCUUUGUUGCACUGGAGGAAUUCCCUCUUUCUCCUCAACCCUUUCCUUGAUCCGGUCAAUGGUAUCAUUUGGUUCAAUAUCAAUCUCAAUUUCUUUCCCAGUAAGAGUCUUCACCUUAAUCAUAGUUCCUCCCCUCAGCCUCAAAACCAGGUGAAGCGUUGACUCCUUCUGGAUGUUAUAAUCUGCAAGAGUUCGGCCAUCCUCCAAUUGCUUACCAGCAAAAAUCAAUCUCUGCUGAUCAGGAGGGAUGCCUUCCUUAUCCUGAAACCAAAUAUCUAUGAGUUACCAUGCAAUUCCAUGACAAAAAAGAAUAAUAAAUCUCUUUGAUGCAUAUAAAUGUAAAGGGAAGGAAAGAAAAAUUGCAAAAAGAAAAGUACAUAUCAAAGACCGAAACAUCAUAUGAUUUCCGGAUUUUAAAUCCAAUUCGCUUACAAAUUUCUACUAAGCUGUCUGGGUGAUUAAGGUAUUUUUCCAUGAUGCCGUAAAAAUACAUAAUUGAUUAGCUCUUCGUGAUGAAAAGUUGUUCUUUAAUAGAUAAAUCUACAGUUCAUUAGUAUCAGUUCAAGACAGAGGACACUCUGCAAGUCUGCUUAUAUGGAUUUCUUGUACUGCAGAAUGGUAAUGAUAGUAACAGAAUUAUGCAAUAACCUUACAGAAACAAUCUCAUUUCACAAAACUAAAGUCAUAAAGGCUUAAUCAUACAAUUAGGAACGAAAAGUUCUAUGGGAAAGACGGAACACAAAUAAACAAGAACUACUCAACCCAUUGGAUGACAGCAAAGGCCUAGUUUUUUGCAAAAUCUUCAGUUGUAUUUUUACUUGCCAAGAACAAUAAAACUAAACAAACUCAGAAAAUCAAUAAAUUUUGUACUCAAUAAAAUCCAGUGCACCAACAGCUCAAAUUAGAAACCCUAACCCUCGCUAUAGAAUUGUUCCAACAUAUAUAUACACACACAAUCACAAACUCUGAUACAAAUAUUAACCAAACCGAAUAACAAAAUCAUAAUACAAUAACAACCAAAUCUUAACUAGAAACCGAAACCCUAAUUAUAUCGCGAAGAAACGCUUCCAUAAAAUAAAGUUGUUCCUUUAAAUGAAUCAAAUAAAUACAUGAGACGAAAACUCAAAUUAGAGAGAAAUACAGUACCUGGAUCUUGGCUUUGACAUUGUCGAUGGUGUCGCUGCUCUCAACCUCAAGAGUGAUGGUCUUCCCAGUUAGGGUUUUCACGAAAAUCUGCAUGUUCUCUUUGGUUUUUGGUCUCACGGAGGAGGAGGGAGAGAGAGAGAGAUGUUUGAUGAUUUUGACUUGGAAAUCAAAGGGAAUAAGGGCUUUCCUUUUUCCAAGCAAAAAGUGGAAUAUAUAUGUAACCAAAAAAAAAAAAUAUCCUGAAUUCGAGUGUGAUUUGGAAAAUGAGAAAGUGUGGACCCCACGUUUGAGAUUCUCCACUUUCCAUUGGUGUUGAAUUAGGUGGUUCCAGCUUUUUCAGGCUGUAUUCAAUUGGAAUUUUCACAAUUUUUUAAAAAGUUUAAAAAUUCAGAGAUAUUCAAUCAAGAUUUUUAAAGAAGUGUAAUAAAAUAUUUGUUCUAAACUAGUGAUUUUUAUAAAGUUGAUAAAUUCUUAAAUAUUUUUAUAGAGUUUAUAGAAAUUACUAAUAAAUCGACAAGGGAUUUAGAUAUUUUGUUUGUUUUUUAUCUAUAAUGAUCUGCUUGACUUUUCUUUUGAUACGUUACCUCAUUAAAAUUUAAUCUAAAGGACUUUAAGUUGACACGUUAUCUUUAAAAUACAACCCAAUUUUCUCAUAAUUAAAAAAGGAAAAAAAAUCCUAAUUGAACUAAUAGGAACUUAACACCAUUAAACUGUUACGGAUGCAAUAGUGGGUGUGGCCUCGAAGGCGCUUCAUCAGGUGGUGAUGGUAGGGUCCGUCUAGGCUCAUGAGUUAUUUUAGGAUUUGGUUAUGUUGAGUUUGUGGCCUUUGUUUGGGCUUACGAUUAAUUGUGGUGAUUUGGGCUAGUAAUUUCAGUGCGGCUUUUGUCCGCGUUAGUUGUGUUUUUAGCAUAUUAGUUUGUUGCCCUCUUGGGAUUGGUACGUUAGAUGUCUUGUUGAUGUCUUUGAUUGUACCGUUAAAGUUUAUCUAAUGAAGUUUCUAUUUGAUAAAGGGGUAUGAUUUCCUCACUCCCAUUUUCUCCACUUACACUCCCUUUUGCUUUUUAAUACUUUUUAAUCAAUUUUAUUCUUUCUCUUUCCUAUUCUACCCUUACCCUACAUUAAUUUCAUUUUACUUCACUUUUAUAUUAGUUCUUUUUCUUUAUACUUAAUUUUCCAACUUGCACUCCAUUUUUAAUAUUUUUUUUUCCUUUAAUCGAGUAAGAAAUUAACUUUUUUUUCUCCCUAUAAUACUAAAAAUGGAGUGUAAGUUGAAAAAUUAAGUAUAAAGAAAAAGAAAUAAUAUAAAAGUUCAGUAAAAAAGAAAUUAAUGUAGGAUAAGGAUAGAAUAGGAAAGAGAAAUAACAAAACUGAUUAAAAAGUAUUAAAAAGCAAAAAUGAGUGUAAGUAGAGAAAAAAGAAGUGGGAAAAUCAGCGCCCAUUUAUUUUCAAGAAAUAUAAUAUAUUUUCAUAAAUAGCACUCUCUUUUUUCGGUCACUCUUAUGACAUAAUUGAUCACGGAUGGAUAAGAUUGUAUGAAAAUGGAGGAGAGAGAAAGAGGAGGGUUCCAAGAAAUAUAUCACAUUUUAGAAUACCUGUGCCUAUACGUACAACACAUUCUGAAUACCGAAGAAACAAAAGGCAAAAAGAGAGAAUGCUGAAUGCAUGUAUCGAUUUUAAGAAGAAAUCUUCAGUUUAAUUCUUUGCUUGGAGGGAAGCAAGAUCCAGGAGGCUGAUUUGCAGAAACAAGGAUAUGAGAAAUAUAUAACUUGCUGUCUCAAAAACUAUUUCUAGUUUUAUUUGUAAGAAGCAAGUUAGUAAAUAAAGAAAAAAAAUAUGUAGGGUUCUGUAAGUCUGCAUCUGCGAAGCCAUGUUAACAAGCUUCUGCAUAUUCUUUGCCUGUGACAUGACUACGUUUCUUUCGGUAUGGAACCCGUGAAUCUAAAUCAAUGGGUCAGGCCAGCGUAAGAAAAAGCACUUAAGCGCUGUAAAAGAUCUCUUUCUGAAGAGCUGUUGAGUCCAAACUCUACAAAAAAAGUUCUAAAAGAAUGCAAAAACAAUUCCUAUAUCAUCUUCUCUAUCAAAACAUGAAAUAAUUGCUACAGAUGAUCCUUUGAUCUAAUAUGUAGCAGUCAGCCUAUGGUGUUGUGUCUCUUGCUCUUCCGAGGGCCAAGGGGACUUUUCCCUGCAGUUCUCUCUGUACUUAAAGGAGAUGGAAGCAAGGGCCGGGGACUUCUUCCAGGUCUUCUUGGUGACAAGUUGGCUUGCUCUAAAACUCGGAACUGAAGCUCCGAAGGAUAGUCCCUCAUGCAACCAAUCCGCGGACCAGCUCCUGUUGUCCACCUACUGGUUAAUUGCUGAGCCAACUGAUAUGACUUCAUUCCUUUAUGUGAAUCAAUCCUUUGCAUGAUUUUCUCUUUUGGCACUGGCUUUUCGUCUUCUUCAAAUUCAUCGUCUUCAAACAAGUUUAGUUUAGGGAUCAUGAAAUCUUCCUCUGUUAAGAGUGAUUCUUCAGCUGUCUCAUAACCAUCGUCGGAAGCAGAAUCUGGAAAAUAUUCGCGACAAGUUAUUGGUAUUCCCUCCUUGAGAAUGUCAAACGCAUCAUUUCUUUGUGGUAUUUCAAGUUUGGCUAUCUUUGAGCAGAAUCUUUCAGGCAAUCUUAACAGAAUAGGAUUAGCAUUUUCUACAGGGUUAGAGUCCUCAUUGCUUGGAUCAGUGCUAUCUUGCCCUGAGCCUUCAGCAUUAGUUGUUCCAGUAUCUUUAGAUGGAUUUGGUUUUUUGGGACUGUUUCGAAUUCCAAUGUUGCUGCUCUUUUUGCUGAGGCCUCCUUCUUCAUCAUCAGCUGCACUUCUCUGAAAAUUGAAAGAAAGGUACAUUAUUACUAGGUCAAUUGUACAUUACUAUUUCUUUAAUGGAAACAGUAUCUACUAUGAAUCAUGGGAACAUUAUGUUUCAUAUAGUAUAGGGAAGAGUUUUUGCUAGCUACAAGGGUGCAUUUGUGUCUGAGGAUCUCAUCUCAGAGCAUUAAUUUAUGGAAAAACCCCGAUACGUGGGAAAUAUAGAUUUCGAUCAGCUCUGUCCAGUUAAUAAUAUCCUAUCAUGUCAUAUGCUGCUACACAAAACAUCAUCUGCUGAGACAGUAGAAGAUGGUAACUUCUUGAGUUAAAAUAAUCGAAUUUUUCCCGACGUACCUUAACAUUUGUGAGAUCUACGUUGUGAUCAAUAAGGAACAACAUGAAUUCCUGAAAAUUUUCCUCUGUUGGGAGAUAAUGGCCACUAUGAGGCCAAACUGACUGUUAAACCAAAAGAGAAAAAAAGAGUGUUAGUAACUAUUAUAUUAAAGCCUAAUCUCAAAGAUAGACACAGGAUUCAAUCUACUAGGUAUACGAAAAUCGUUGAGAGAUUACUCUUUCCUACCUUAAGAAUUCCCUGUUCCACCACUAAUCUUCCAGCAGAGAGUGUGGCUCCACCUGCCAAGAAGCUUGAAUGUUGAAAUGUACCUUUGCUCUUCUGUCCAAUAUACAAGGUCUUGGAUGUGCUAAGCACAAAUAUCCACUUAGCAUCUCUGACUUCUGUUGUAUCAAGAAGAUUUCCACUCUGCUUGUAAAUGAACUUCCCAUCUUGCAUUACAACUUCAUAAGCCUCUCUUUCUAUCUGCAGAAAUGAAGCAACAGUUAUCGGUAGGUGCACCGGUUUUGUUUGAUCUAAAAUGUCUUGGGAAUUUGUUUCAUUCUUAAGGUUUAUGGUCAGAAGAUUGAAAUGCCAUGGUGAGAAGAGAUUCAAACUCCUUCACGAAAACAUAAAGAAAUGAGAAAUCAUAACGGAAGAUGAGACUCACAGGGCCAAGAUACUUGAUGCAUUGUGUUUGAAGCUUUGGCCGAGGACAUACUUCAUGGUUGACUUCUCUUCCAUCUCCUAUGUCAAGCCUGCAUUUUUAAGAGAAAAAAAAAAGAUUAUUAAAUAGGUGCUAAAACAUUCUUGGCUGUGAUCAAGGAGCAUUUCUAAUUGCUUUGCAUGAUGUCCCAGAUUAAACUUACCAAUAGAAGAAGGGCUGUGUACUCUCACAAUGGAGCCAUUUCGCAUAAUAAAAGUGAAGAUUAUGGCCAUAACGAUGUCGAGGAUCAAUCUGUUAAUAGGAAGGAACAAGAGUAAGAAUCCAUGAAGGAAAUUUUGUACAUUGAUUCUAAGGUAUGUUGCACUAUAAGGUAUAGAACUUACUGCCUCAAGCCAAUGCUGCAAAGCAAGUUUACGGGCCCUUUUGUCCUUAGACAAACCUUUUCCCACCUUCAAAAGAGAUGAUGCAGCAGCAGUUAGAGCCAUAAUAUAGCAGUACAGAAGUGCACAUCACGUAGUGUAAUACUAACUAACCUUGGCAGCUCUGGUUCUUGCCCUAGACCAGCGAGAAACAGCUGUCUCGGGUUUCUGAAUGUCAAAAAAUGAUAUUGAGCUCCGUUUGAGCUCAGCAAAAUCUAGUGCCCUCCACCUACAAAUUGAGUUCACCAAAAUAUAAGUCUAACUUCAGAAGGAUACAAAUAGGGAUAUGUGGACAGGACUAGUAGGCAUAAAACUUUUCCAUUUCCUUUCAUGCGUGACACCGAAAGCUCUUCAAAUUGAAAGAAGACAUGAAAGCAUACCAUCUUUGCUCAACAAGAAUUGCACAAUCUGCUAACUGUCUUCUCGUGCGGAAACUUUUAUAAACUUUCUGCAACUUCAAUGCAGCCUGGUAUCUGUGUUUUCCUGGCUCCUGGGUCUGGUUUUCUGUUGUCAGCAAAGGGUCUCCAGCAUCGCUUUCUGCUCUGGUAGACGCAAUGUUUUCCAUAUCUGCCGAACAUGUCUUCGUUAAGGGCUUGGUGUUUAACUCCAUCCCUUUAAAGCUAAGUGAUCCUUCAAUAUUCAUCUUUCCUGAACCAUUUGUGGUGGUUGGUUCAGAAUCAGGGCCGUUGGAGCUUAAUGACCGCAAGGGCUUCCUCUCUUCUUCUUUCCUAAGACUAACUGGACUUACAAGAACAGCUCCACAAUGACUAUCCAAAUCAUCAAAAUCAGAAAGUGGGCAGGAAACUGGAAACCCCAUUGACCAACAAGGGAUAUCUGUAAGAUUAUACUACUACUAACCAAGAUCUGAAUCGACGAGAUGAUCGAGAUCUAUUGGGUCUCUUUACCUGUAAAAAACUGAACAGAAUGUACAGAAUUAAACAUAAAAAGUUCAUCAAACUUGACAUCCAUGAAGGGCAAUAUAAUCAAACUUGGUACCAACAAACAUUGUUUCAACAUUCAUGAAUGGAGGUCUACCAUUGGAUAUAUAGGCACACAUCCAUUUCCUCCUCUUUCCUGUUUUUCUACUAGAAUCUAAAGCAUGGUUCCUCAAAAGCCAUUUUACAAUCCCAUGCAAAUUGCAGAGGAGGGUUUAUAUCCAACACUCUAAAUUGGGUGAUACAAAAUUUUGCAACUUGUAAAUUUGAAAAUAUUAAAAGUCUCAAAUGCAUUAAAUGCAAAUACUAACACACACACACAUCACCAAUUGCAACAUUCAACCAACAAAUUAAGUGAAUGACUCACAAGAAAGCCUUUUGAUACGUUUAUGAAUGAGGGGUGCACAAUGAGUCUUACCUUAAUCAGAGACAGAAUGGAAGCAGAGAUGGAGACUGGUUUAAGACAAGGCUGAGGAAAGAGAGAACCAAAGAAGGGUAGAGAGAGAAAGAUGGAGAGGAAGUAAAGAAAUGGACGAAUGAUGGGAGAGAGAGCGGAGAAUGUGGGAAGUUGAAGGGGUUUUAUUUUGUAGAGGUUUCAAAGGUUACAGAGUGGCUUUCAUGGGCUUGCUUCUCUCCUUCCACAGAGAGCUCUACUUUUUUUUCUCUGUCUCUGGCUUACAGAGCACCUACGUUGGCUUCAUGCUAUUCUUGCAACAUUUAUAUAUAGAAGUUAGAGAGAGAAUUCUAGAGAGAGAAUUUCUAUAUAGAGAGAAGAGGGGGGAAGAAAAAGAGUAACAGUUGGAUCAUAGUCUCCCCACACGUGUUAUUGACCACAAGAGAAAGUUCACCAACUUAUAAUAUAUAUUUUUCUUAAUGAAUCUCUAUUUUGAUCUUUUUAAUUCAUGUGAAUAUUGUAUUUAUGUCUAAAAUUACGUGAUUUUAAAUUUUUCUAUAAUUGGUUUAAUCAUAUUUGGUUUGAAGGAAAAUAAGCUUCAUUUUCUUUAAGUAAAAACGAAAAGGUGCAUGACAAGUUUUAUAAGAUACUAGUUUAAAUACCCCUUUUUUUUGGUUAAGUUUGAAUUUUUUUGUUAUUAGGACUAAAUUCUAUUAUGAUAUGAAUGAUCAUUACCAAAAACCUAUAAUGCAAGUUUAAUUUAUAGUUAAUGUAAUAAAUUGCUUGUGAUUUUAGGAGGAAUAUAUGCAUUUUCAAGCAAGCAAGUGAUUUGAUGUGUAAAGUUCUCAUGAUGACGAACACACUGUCGUUUGAAGGUUUAAUUGAUAAUUUAAUUACUUUUCUAAUUGCUUUUUUUUUUUGGUUGUUUCUUCAUCUAACUAAUCCAUGUUAGUUUAUCCCCUUUUUAAUUUUUAACUUGACAUUAGCCAUCCAAACCUUUUUCCAAUCUUUUCUUUUUCUCUUCUUUUUUUUUGGGUCAAGGAAUCUUUUCUUGUUCUCUUGUCACAAAAUUUGGGUGGGAAUGGGAUGGUUUCUAAAAACCCUAUUUAGUAUUGUAUGGCCACAGAUGCAUGGAAACUUCUUUGGUUAGAAAACAAUACAUUUCUCCUACCCAAUAUUCUCUUAAAUGAGUGUUAUUUGCAUCAUGCGAAAAAACUUAUGAAAAGUAUAGGGUUUCCCCUUUUUAUGGAAAAAUGUUAUGUUUUCAAAUGGUCGAAAAUGUCAUAUAUAUAAAAGACCACACAUUCAUACAUGAUUUUAGUUACAUUAACUAAUUAUAUUGAUUAAAUUAGCAAAAGAAGAUAUUCUUUCUUUUUACUAGAAUGAUAUUUUAAACUAUUUUUGACGUACGAAAAGGGAAGUUUAAACUCAGAUAUAAUUGGGUGAAUAUAUUGCCUUGAUCAAGUAAUCUAACCCGCAACAUUUGAAAAAGAAGAAAAAUCCACAUUCAACCCCCCCCACCCCCCCAGAUACUUGAAAGCAAUUAAUUUCCCACCAAAAAAUUAAGUUACAACAAAUACAUGUUUACCCUUUUGCCGGCCACCUUCUUAAAUGCAAGUGGGUCACCGCCACGGUAUAAUUGUAAGUACGGUCCUUGAAAGUAUUAUUAUUUUCCCUUCUCUUUUGCCGUACCACUUUUUUGUCCUUUUCUUCUUCUUCUUCUCAAAUUAGGUUUAUUGCAUCUACGUGCUCAAAUGUCAUGUUCAUAUUGUGCAAAAGAAUUUUAACACUUACAUUCGAUCAUUAAUUUAUAUAUGAGCAUGUUGUAUUAUCUAUGAGCAAAUUAAAUAAAUAAUAUCUUAUGUUUGAAUAUACAAAUUCAAAAGAUGAAUUUAUUUGCAAAAAUAAUUUUUUAAAACAACAUUUCAUAACGAUAGCGUGUUAAAUAUGUUUCGAGAACGAAAAUUGACCUCUCAUUGAAAAAAAAAAAACAUGUAAUUAUCGUAUUAAUACUUGUGAACUCAACACGACAAAUUUUGGACGAUGUGAAUUACAUCGUAUAUGAUUUUAUCAGGUCUAGUAAUUUUUGAGUGAUGUAAUAUUUGGACGAUGUGUUCACGAGUUGUGACAAGAAGUAGACUUCAUUGUGAUUCAAGAACGAGUACAGCUCAUGUACUGUCACAGUACGGCCUGUUAGAGUGGGAUUUGUUUGGAUUAGAUUCUAUGAGCAGCUGGAGAAUAUGGAGCUUUCCGCAAAAGUGCUUUUAAUUCUGACUCAUUCUAAUUACAGAGUCCGACAUGUAUUUUUUUGGGUCCAAGUCCAACGCGUUUGUUUUGUUUUUGUAAAGCACCGACACACUCACAACUCAACAGUCAAAUCACUCGCUCCUAUUUUAUUUAUAGUAGUUGAUGACCAGAUGAAAGAGAAGAAGAAAAAGGACUUUUGGAAAGUUUCAAAGGCAUGGGAGAUUUUGGACUUCGGAGAUUACUGGCUUAGGUAAAUUAGGUGUUUGGCGUGUGAGAAAAUUGAAAGAGAAAACUUGUACAUUGGUCAACUAGUCAGCAUCUGAGUGCAUCAUCAUACAUAUAUGAAGCUACGAUAAAAUCUCACAUGUUAUAAAGUAAGAAGUGAAGUUCACAUGAAUAAAGUAAGAGGAUAUUAGUUAAAAGAUGAAAUUAUGAUGUCGGGAGAAAAUGUUGAAGAUGCAUUCAUGGGAGGCCAUUCUAAUUGCCUAUAAAUAAGCUUCCUUUUAAGUUGUAAAAUACACAACCAAUUAGAAGAGAAGAGAGUCAGAGUCAGAGAAGAAAAGAGAGAAUAAGUUCUAUCUGAUAAGAAAUUCUGUUAGUGUAAACACCAUAAAGAGCAAAUAUAAUUUCACUCCCAAUAUGCUCCCAGUAUUUAGUGGUACUUCUCAUACUCUUUGAUUAUUCUAGUUCUAUAACAUCACAUGACUUUUCAAAAUUAUAAUAAUUGUUUUGUUACUUUGUGUACAAUGUCAUGUUAAAACGGAGGCUUUCUAAAGCAGAGAUGUCCUUAUUCUCCUUGAAAGAUGACCUAAAUAUAGAUGAUUUCGAUUGUUGAAAUAUAUUAUAGGCAACCCUAGAAAUGAUGUGUGCACUUUUCUUAUAAGGGCUUAACGUAGAAAAACUUCAUGUGUCCAACUAUUAUAUAUCAAGGUCAGGCUUUAAAAGAAUCGGCCAGUAUCAUAUUACAUAUCUACCACGUUGCUUACAUAGGAUAAGAAUUUGAUGCAAGAAAAACAUGUUACAUAUGGAUUCAUAUAACAUAUGCUAGUUCCUUAUGCCAAUAUUUACAGGCUGACAAGAUAUGAACUCUCUCUCUCUCUCUCUCUCUCUCUCUCAUCCAAGAUUCAGCAAAUACUGAGGGAGUUGCUAGAUGAAAGGAAAAAUGAUAUACUCAGCAUAGAAGAGAUUCCAUAUAAAUCUGUAGUAGCCGGCAAUUGCUUCCUGCAGAACGCAUUCAAACUUAUGAUCAGAUGAUGAAUCAAAUACUCUCUGUCAUUUUAUUGGAAUCUGAAUAGAUCAUCUCGAAGUAGUAGUGCCGAAUUGUCCUAUUCCAAACUGUACUGCUUGAUCAUUAGACCAGUAAAAUGCUAUUUACACAAAAUGGAAUUUUAUACCUUGGUGUAAUUUGCUUGCUCGAGCACCCAAGUCUGAAAGUACAUGAGAACAAAAUUUACAUAAGAGUUCAACAAUAAAGCACAAAUUUUCAUCAAGUGUUGUUUGUUCGUGUGUGCGAAAGAGCUCUAACAUAAACCAUUCACAUCCAAUUAAAUGCAGAUUAGAAAGCACGAAGCAGAACACGUUGCCAUUGUCACUUUAUUCUCCCAAGUCCUCACCACACACGCACACACACAAAAUAUACCAGAAUUCCUAAUACUGAAAAGAAUCAGCAUCAUAAAUGCCUAACUGAAAAAAUCAUUCAGUGAGAAGAAACUACAGAGAGGUGGGAUGCCAUUUUCGACAGUAAAUUUGUCUGAUAUCAUAAGCAUUUUAUUUACAUCCCCCCUCUCUUUUCUGUCAAUACUCUUGGAGCAUUGACAGAAAAGAGAGGGGGGAUGUAAAUAAAAAGACAUUCAUAAAAACAAGGAACAAACAAAAAAAGAAAAAGAAAAAGAAGCCGUUUAGAAUGGAUAUAGUGGUGAUGAGGUCAGAACAGCAAGAUACAAACCUGGAAAAUUAAACUCAGAGCCAAAAUUGUAUGGGUCGGUAUCAUUAAGCUACGCCUGAAUGCCUGUACACAAGCAACAUAAAGGCUUUAAUUUUUUGAGUCGACGGAAAACACGAAGAAUUUCACAAACACAAUAAAUCAAAGCCAUUAGCUUUUGUCCAAAAGCAUGAACCACGCAAGCAUCUAGAGAUACACUUCAAAGUUCAAAGGGAUACAUGCUCACCUGAGGCAUGAAACUUGCUGCGAAUAUAGAACCAACAUAGUUUAGCAGCAAAAGCCCAGAACCCAGGAAUGCAAUCUUUCUAACUCCAAGUUUUGUUGCAAAUGUUGAUAUCUGAAACCUGUAAGCAUAUAUUUGAAAUAAAUAUUGGUGGGCAACUGGAAUGUUAGGCUUUAAACAAAAACAAUGGUGCAUUCUGAUCUGAAAAUGUAGAGAAAAGAGUACCAAUAUUGGUUAAGCAUAAUCUAAGACAUUGACAAUUACAGUGAGUUACAUGGCAAAACGAUACCCACUCUGUGUCUAUGCAAGUAUGGGGUAGAGGGUGCGGAAAGUAUUAUAUGGGGUAAGAAUCAAAUGAGGAAUCAGCUGCCAGAAAGUAACUAGGCCCUGCAACUUACUUGCGGUCUCCCUCUACAUCAGGAAGAUCUUUUGUUAUGGCAAUAACCAAUGCAAAUAAUGUUACAAAGGUAGUGAUAAAAGCCACGGGCGAGCUGCAGGUAGAAUUUGAAUUUCAGCAUCAGUCUCUUUAAAAUUUUAAAUUAUGAACAUUACACAGCUAAAAUAUCAGAAGGAUAUAGUGACAUUCACAAGAGAAAGUUGGACAAUUAGAUCAAUCAAUACAGAUUUGUUUGCAUAAUAAAAUUGAAAAUUGAAAAUUAGUAAUGCUCAUGUGUUGGAUUUAGAAAAGGUCCCUUUUUGUUAACUUUCAAAAUCCAUAUUGGUGUGUAAACUACAGCAGUUCCUUAUCAAUCCUGUAUUAGUCCAUCCAAUUGUAUAGUCAUACCAGUUAAAAUACAACAAAUGGUAACACACCUCCACUCAAAUUGAAGCCCAAGGGCAGCUCUAGUGGCAUAAUAUACACCAAAAUUAAGAAGGAAACCCCGUACCUGCAGUAGUUAUUGGAGAAAAAUAAGGCAAAAUAAUUUUUAAAAUAUAUUUGUGAAUCAACAUAAUAGUCAUUGAACAGAUCCUAUCCUCUUCAUAAUAUAUUUACUUUCCAGGCUCCUUGCUCAAAAGUUGUUUGAAUUCAUGCCCAGAAAUUUUUAGACAACUAUAUUAGAUCAGUAGAACUACACUAUUGCAGCGAUUCAACUAUAAAGAGUGUUAUGCUACAAUAGCAUUUGGUGCUUCAGCCAUUAGGGUAAUAUUCAUAUUUGGAAAUUUUUGUUUUUUGUUUUUUGUUUCACAUUGCUUCUAAAAUAAACUACUCGCUUUCCUGUGACUCACAGGUCUGCUUCCGCCAACACUUUUCUACUCUCUUUUUUUCAUGGGUGUAAUUUGUGGAUGUUUAACUUUAUUUCUCUAGAACUUUCAGGCUUUUUUUACCAGAACUUGCUUAGAUUGUGAUGAUUAUAAAUGUAUUAACUAUUAUCUACUUUACUUUUUAUUUGGACAUUUUAAGGCAGGCGCAUGAAUUUCAAAUCCCAUGUACAAAAAAUAUCAAGCAAUUUGAGUAGUUACUGAUUUUAGAAUGGAGAAAAAAAAAAUUACAAAAAAUGAGCGCAUAUUUCUAUUGUGAGAAUUGGAUAACAGGAGAAAAAAGUGAUACCGUAGCAAUUAUAAGAAAUGCUGCAACAGGAAAUCUCUUCAUUCUAAACGGAGGAACAGAAUAUAUGGUACCAAGGAAAAGACCAAGACUGUAUAGAGAAGUAAUGAAUGGCCCAAAGUUCAUUCCGACAAUCAACAGGCCAGUCACUACAAAAAAUACCACCAGAAGCCAUGCUGAUUUAACUGAAAGGUCCCCUGCAGCAAUAGGUAAAUAAGGUUUGUUUACCCUGCAAACACAACAGAGAGAUGCAGAAUAAGUUCAAAGAAACUAAUAUGCAAUAAUGUCCUUGGACAGUCUGUCACACAAUGGAAACAAAGAAAAAACAGAAAAGAUGAUUUACCAAAGGUCAAGAUCGUCUGGCUCUAUAUUUUUCCUUUUAUCAAUGACUAAGGAACAGGUUCUAUCAAGAGUCUCUAGAUCAGAUGAUUGAUAUUAAUCAACUAUGUUAAGGCAUCAAUUACAUUCUGACAAGGGCCAACUUGUGAUGGAUCUUAAACAACAAAAAAUGCGUACAAACCCUAUUGUGGUUGUUGGAAACCAAUAUUUUGAGUUUAAGACUGUUGCGCAAAUCCUUGUCUAAUAGUAUGCUCAAGAAACAGAAAUUCGUAAAAAUAUACGCCCAUCGUACUUGUCAAUUUUGAUAUCGUAAAUCUGGUUGAUGCCAACUAUGUAACCAUUCCCACAUAGUAGAGCAAAAAGACCAGAGAAUGCCUUAAACAGCAGAGACCACUUUAUCAAAUUGGAGUUCUCAAUCAACGCUCUAGUCACCAAAGCACUGUGGACAAAACAACAAAGAAAUUUGGUCAACUACACCUGGCCUGAGUUGGAAAUGAAACCAGUUUACUAAUACAAAUCAAUGUUCUGUGUGGUAAUUACUUACGUAGAACCCAGAACUGUUCCACGUAUGGUAUGAGGCCUCAGGAAUCUCCAACAAGCAUCUUUAAAAUCUGAAAUUCUGGUCAAUACUGGAUCAGAUCCAGCAGCUUCAACUUGACUGCAGGCCUGGCAGCAUUCACUUUCACUUUAAUACCAUAAAAAGAAAGGGCUUGAGUCUCAUAGACUACAGUCUCCAAAAUCAAUAUGCAACCAUGUAUAUGGAACCGAAUCAAGUACUAACACAUGUAAAAUCAAAAUCAAAAUCAGUAACAAGGCAAAGGGAGUAUAAUCUAUAAACAGACACCAAAUUGCCUUUUUUUUUUCCUUUUCUAUUUGCAUGUUCCACAGUAAAGCAAAUAGGUACAACCAACUAUAUCAAGCUUCUAACUAGUUUUUUGCUGCUUUGACAUGUUCAAUAGUAGGAUUGCGUACUAUCAACCGCUUACCCUAUAUUAGUCCUUCAAACCUUGACAUAAUGUCGUAAUUGCAGCAUCACUUCAGAAUAAUAAUCAAGUAGAAACUUCCAGUUCCACAAGCUAACAAUAACAGCUAAAGGAAAAAAUUACAGAGACCAAAAUUCACUAAUUGGAGCAAAAUCAAACAUACCCAACUGGAAAAGAAAAAGGAAAAGAAAAAUAAAAACAAUCUUCUAACCAAAGUUUCAUAGUGGCAUUUCCUAAUGAACAGUGCUUAGAGAAGAACCCAAUUGGACCAACUAAAAGUUGAAUGUAAUUUAUAUCAUUGAGGAAGAAAUGCAGCAUACCCAGAUGGAAUUUCGCCUCUUCUGACAGUUGGGUAAGGACUUUGAGCUUCUGUAGAGCCCAAUUGAGUACAAGUUUUGUGUGCAUUUUGAGAGAGAAGCAAAGGGGGAUUUGGAAGUUGGCUUAACGAAAGUUGAAGGAAAAGAAGAGGAGGUCUUGCAAUGAGGGGUUAGAGCUGGAAACCGUGGAGAAGAUGAGGGAGCGAAUGAGAGCUCCAUGCUACGCUUACAACACAGACAGAGAGCGAGAAACAAGAGUCUGUCCGUGCCUCCGAGAAAGUAGAGAGGAUAUCACUUUGAAACUCAGACACACGAAAAGACGGAGGUAAAACGACAUGUCGUAGAUACUCCAAAAAGAAAAAGGAAAGCACGGAACCAAAAAAUAGGAAGUUAAACGAAAAAUGGAGAUGCGGGGUAUCGAACCCCGUACCUCUCGCAUGCAAAGCGAGCGCUCUACCAUGUGAGCUACAUCCCCAAGUUGCUAAUAAGUUUCAUAGUAUUCAAUUUACACAAUUUUCAAGGAAAUACAUUUGCUUACCUUUUUUUUUUUUCCUCCUAAUAAAUGGCAGAUUGUUUUUUUAUUUUUUAUUUUUAAUAGAGCAACAUUAGUACUUAGUUGGUCACUCAAGGAAAUGAUAGAGUUUUGAUGUCUUCUAUAUUGCAAAGACGGUCCUCACUCACCAACCAUUUUGCUCAAUAGUUUAAAAUUGAAGCGGCAUCCCUCUCAUUUUGUAGUACCCUUUUAACAAGAGAGGAAAUAGGAAAACCACACCCUCCUCCUUCCCGUUCAACACCCUUCACAUUACGACCCUCCGAAAGAGGGUACGGUGGUAAGACAACUGUGCCAUGGUAGCUUCCUCAAGGGGCAACAGCACUAGUAUUAACAUGGUAGGCAUUCCAAAAGAAAAAGGGUGUCACUGCCUAAAGUCCAUUUUAUUAUUUGUGGACAAGGAAAUCUUCAGGGUCGCCUUAGAGGAAACCAUAAUGCUAAAAUAACUCUAAAAAGCAACCGCAUGAAUGUCAAAGUAACAUUAAUCUAAAUAAAAUUCGAGUCAAGCACAACAUCCAACCACAUAAAACUUGAGGAUCAUCAACAUAAAAGGGCAGAGACAUCUCUCAUAUUCAAAGGGUAAAUCCGACAAUCACUAAAUAAUAAGUAAACAAACAAACGCAGACAAAAUUCUCCUUGUUGCCAACAUAGUUUUCUGCAGCCCCUCAACGGUUGGCCUUGGCAACUCUUUCAAUCUCAUCCUUCUUCUUGAUCGCAUAACUGCACACAAAAGAAACAAAGAAUCAAGGGAAGGAAAUUAAAUCAGACUACAUAACAAAAAUGGAAAUAAACUCGGACAUAAAAGAGCUUCGGCCGAGAAUAAUAAGUAAUAAGAAAAUAAGCGCUUAGAAAGCAAGCCAUCAAUCAGUACCUGUUAGAGGAACCUUUGGCAGCAUUAAUAAGUUCAUCAGCCAAACAUUCUGCAAUAGUUUUGAUGUUUCUAAAAGCAGACUCACGAGCACCAGUUGUGAGGAGAUAGAUAGCUUGAUUCACACGUCUCAAAGGUGAGAUAUCCACAGCCUGACGCCUAACAACUCCAGCAGAUCCAAUACGAGUUGCAUCUUCACGUGGACCACUGAUCAGCACAAAGCAGACAUACAAAAGAAAAAAAAAAUGUUUGAUCAAUUUAAGGAGAUAAAAAAAAUCAACAUAUAAUCGGGAGAAAUUAUACUAAAGGCCACUUGAGCUUCCCCUCCAAUAUAAAAAAAGGACUAAGCACAAGGCAAGUAUGUAAUUACUAUGAUAAAUAUAAUAACAAAUCUGCAUCCACUUACCUAUUAACAACAGCAUCAACAAUAACUUGAAUGGGGUUCUGAUCAGUCAGCAAAUGGAUAAUUUCCAUAGCAUGCCUAAUAAUCCUGACAGCCAUGAGUUUCUUUCCAUUGUUUCUGCCGUGCAUCAUGAGUGAGUUAGUAAGCCUCUCCACAAUAGGGCACUGAGCCUUCCUGAAUCGUUUGACUGAGUAUCUCCCAGCAGUGUGAGGCACAUAGGUUGCAUGCUUGGCAGGUACCACUCCAACAUAGUCUGCCAAUGAAAUGUCACUGACCUAUACGUUGCAAAUUACAUAUUACCAUUAGUAGAUGCAAUGAACAAAUUAAUACAACAAACUAAUCUAUAUGUUUGAAAAUGUCAAACGAUUAUUACCAAAUAAUUGAUAAUAAAAGAUUUAGUCAGCAUCUAAAAAAAACUAAAAACAAUUUGACACGUAAAUACCAAUUAAUCAAUAUACUUAAUAGACAGGAAAAGAUUUGACCCACAUAUGAAUUUAACUGAAGCAGACAUAAACUUUCAUUUUAUUGAUAUAAAUUGAAAAAAGGCGUUAAUAAAAUCAGCACAUUCAGGAGGAGCACCAAAUACAUGUGACCAAAACAAGUGCAAUAAACAAUAAUAAUAACAAUAAACUUUAGCCUACUAAGUUACACCUACAGUGAAUCUAAGAAACACAAGAUGUCCACACAAAGAGGCCACAGAGAUGUCUAAAUUACAAAAGCAAGUCCCAAUUACACAUCUUGAGGUUGAGCUACAUAUACAUUAUGAUACUUACAACCCAACAAGUAAAUGCAAGGACGCCUAUCCUUGGCUGCUAACCAACCAGCUAAACGUAUGUUUACCAAACUCAACCUUAGUUUGUCUAAUUCAUAACAGAUAUCGAAAGUAUAAUUAAAUCAAGUAAAGCAAAACAAACUCCAGAUACCUGAACAUCAUCAAAGCUCCAGCGGUUGAACAGCUUCACGUCAAAGUGAGGCUCCGUUGGUUCCACAACAGAAGCAACUACGACAGGAGCAGCUGCGACAGGAGCAUCUACGGCAGGAGCAGCCAUGGUUCUGUAUAAACACAAUUAAAGAAACAAAACCUGUUCACAUUUGUUAACAACAGCGGGGACUAGAAUCAGUGCUGCAAAUUAAUUUUUCAAUUACGAGAAUUCCAUAUCAAAGUGAAUCGAGUAAUGUAUAACUAAAAAAUGAGAUUAGGGAAAACAUUGAAUCAAGCUUUUUUUUCAAAAUAAAAAAUUAAUAUAAAAAAAAAAGGAAGAAGCAAAAGGGAAACCUCAAAAUUUUGUGAUUCUUAGUUUCAUAGCUCAAUUCACAAACCCAACAAAAAUUUCAAGCCAAAUUCUUGUUUCUUUUAAUACUUUUAGCUUUAUCUAGGUGCAGCAAAAUCAGUAUGUAAGAAGCAUAAAAAAUAAUAAUAAGCCAUCAAUAACAAAAUACAAACAACUGUAUGGCUCUCUUCCAUUCAAAACAAUAAACCCACCCCAAAACCCUAGCACAAUCUUAAUUACUCGAGGAAGUGGCAGAGAUGGGUGAGAGAGGUAACCACUGACCUGGAGGUCGGAGUUUCAGAAGCUUGGAGAAGAAAGAGAAAAUGGCGCCUGGAGUGGGUUAUGAAACGCUCAAUACAAGAGAACGGCGCAGGGCAGAGGGCGAAAGAGGGGAAAAAGUCUUUAAUCAGCUAGGGUUUGGUUUUUAGGUUACGUUUACUAUUUUACCCUUCCUCAUUUUGUUUUUAUUUUUGUUUUGUUAAAAAAUCAUAUCCUCUGUUUUUUACUUUAAUUUAUUUUUUCAAAUAUGAUCAUAGAAGCUGCCCGGCUAUGCUUUUUUUGACACGUGGGUCUCUUUUGUUUUGUAACUAAAUAGUAUAGUCGCGAGGCUAUAUUCUCAGGUAUUUUUCAAAAUCGUAGAGCCGGACUGCUAUACUCGGGUUUUUAUUUUUUUAAAAAUAGUAUAGCAGGGCGGCUUUACUGCAAUAAUUUUUAUAAAAAAUAUUAUAGCCGCGCGGCUAUACUUGUGCUGACAGGUGCACACCUAAUCUCUAAGCGGGUCCCUUUUUUUAAUAAAUAAUAUUGCCGUGCGGCUAUACUCAACUUUUUUAUAAAUUUUUUUUUAAAAUACUAUAGUGGGCCAGUUGUACUAUAGUUUUUUUAGAAAUAGUCGUCGGGCGGGCAUACUCUUUUUUUAAAAUUAAAAAAAAUGACGUAGAGGUUGUUGAGUUUUCAGAUUUUUUAUUUAUAUUUUGUUAUUUAUUUGUAAACCGAACUUAAUAACUUUUUUAUUAUUUUUUUAACGGUAGUUUGACGUAGUGGACAACAUUGACUAACGGAAUAAAACACAAGGGCUCAAUUUGCCAAAUUGAACACACGGGAACUAAAUUGGUCAAAUGAGUAUAACACAAUGACUAUUUUAAUGUUUAAGCCUUUUUUUUUUUAAUACUAUAGCCAGGCGGCUAUACUCUGGUUUUUAAUCUAUAAAAAAAGAGUAUAGCCACGGGGCUAUAAGUGUUUUCUAGGCAGGUCCUUUUUAAAAAAAAAUAGUAUAGCUGCGCGACUAUAAGUUUUUCGACAUCUGGGGCUGUUUUGUUUUAACUAAAUAGUAUAGCCGCGCGAGUGUACCACGAUAAUUUUUUUUAUUUUUAAAGAUAGUAUAGGCACGUGGCUAUACCAGUUUUGACACGUGGGUAACUAAUCCUAGGUGGGUCCACCUUUUUUCUAUAAUAGUAUACCCGCUUGGCUAUACUCUGGUUUUUGUAUUUUUUUAAAAAUUGAAACUAGCCAAAAUAUAAACUAAUGCAACUAAAAGGGUACUUUUUUAAAAAAUUUCUUUAAAGAAAACGUAUAGCCGCGCGGCUAUACCUUUAAAGAUAAUAUAUUUUAAUGCUACGGUAUUUGUUUUAUAAAAAAAGAAUAUCAUCGUGCGGCUAUACUGUUUUCGACAUGUGUGUCCCCCUUUUUUUUUUAAUAGUAAAUAGUAUAGCCGUGCGGCUAUACUCUCGGUUAUUUUUCAAAAUAGUACAGUCAGGCGGCGAUACUAAGGUUUUUUUAAUUUGCUUAAAAAUAGUAUGACAUAAAAGUUUAUUGUGUGGCCAACAGGGCAAUGUAAAAGGGUCUUGACUUGCAUACUCGAGAUCUCAUGUUCGAACGUAUGUGAGAAAUUCGCCUCCCCUGUAGUUUAAACUAUCGCUUUUACUAAAAAAAAAUAUUGUGUGAGAAUAAUUAUGGUUUUUAAACCAUUUUACGGUUUAGAUCAAUCGGUUUAUCUAGGCCAUGGCAAGUGUCGCAUUGAUAGAAGUUUUUUCUUUCUCGAAAAUUCUUAGAUGGAUUUGGGCAAUAAGUUGCUCAAUUGUUUUUUUUUUUUUUUUUGUUGCCAAAGUGGGGAGUGGGAAAAACUGACACACAUAAGGAUUUAAACGCAAGACCACUUAAGAGCACACCAAAGACAUGGGCCAAUCCAACUAACACCCCCAUUCGUCAGCUCACUUCAGACGAUAUGGGUUUCCUUAACUGUGAAUAUGAUCGUGAUACUUGUGAGUUUCACAUUGUGCAAGGAAAAUUUUGUGCACUUUCAUAAGGUAAAAUGUCAAUUGGAGGAGAGCAAAAGGAGCAACACGAAUUUUAGAAAUAUUUGUAGCUACUGUUCUUCCAUUCAUAUUUUUUCUAAUUCUCGAUAUUGUCUUGGUCACAUCCUUGAAAUUAAACAAAAAAUAUGAGAAAAACAAACAUCGGCCAUUUUUCAUGAAACAAAACAGAACUAGCUAAAAAUCUUGAAAAAUAGGAACUCGCACAUUGAGAUCAUUUGGAGCUUCCUUUGAACAGCAAAUGACAAGAUACUCGUAGGUUUCGGCAGCCCCUCAACGGUUGGCCUUGGCAACUCUUUCAAUCUCAUCCUUCUUCUUUAUAGCGUAACUGAGCACAAACAGAACAACCAAUAGUCAGAAAAGUAUCAAGUUGAAGAAAACGAAAUUAGACUAAACUAAACAUAACAAAACAGAAAUAAACAAUGAGAUAGAUGAGCUUUCAGAGAAAAUAAACAUAAAGAAAGCAAUGUAUCAGUACCUAUUAGAUGAACCUUUUGCAGCAUUAAUCAGUUCGUCGGCCAAACAUUCUGCAAUAGUUUUGAUGUUUCUAAAAGCAGAUUCACGAGCACCAGUUGUAAGGAGAUAGAUAGCCUGAUUCACGCGUCUCAAAGGUGAAAUAUCCACAGCCUGACGCCUAACAACUCCAGCAGAUCCAAUACGAGUUGCAUCUUCUCGUGGACCACUGAUGGUCACAAAGAAGACAUACAAUUGGAAUCAGUAUUUCCAUAAGGGUCACCAUCCAAUGUGGUUAGAGUACCCAGAAGACUUCCAAAGUCAGAAAGUAAUCAGGAUCAAUUUUAUUAAAAGACCACUUGAGGUUCCCCUCCAGCAUCAAUACCUUCUACAGACCCUAAGCACAGGGCAAGUAUGCAAUUACUAUGAGGAAUAUAAUAACAAAUUUGCAUCCACUUACCUAUUAACAACAGCGUCAACAAUAAUUUGAAUGGGAUUCUGAUCAGUCAGCAAAUGGAUAAUUUCCAUUGCAUGCCUAAUGAUCCUUACAGCCAUAAGUUUCUUCCCAUUGUUCCUGCCAUGCAUCAUGAGUGAGUUUGUAAGCCUCUCCACUAUAGGGCACUGGGCUUUCCUGAAUCGUUUGACUGAGUACCUCCCGGCAGUGUGAGGUACAUAAGUUGCAUGCUUGGCUGGGACAACUCCAACAUAGUCCGCCAGUGAAAUGUCACUGACCUAUAUGUUACAAAUAACAUGAUUAUCAUUUUAAAUAUACAAGGGAAAUAGAUUUCAGUAUUUGUCUAACACAUGAAAAUUAUCUAAACGUCCAUAAAACUUUACCAAAAUAAAUUAUUUUUAAAAAACACGAAAAAACUUAAAAUCAGUGUAAAGAUGAAGCCAAGGGCACCAAACAAUAAGAAAAUCAACUGUUAGCAUUAGCCUACUAAGUUACACCUACUGUGAAUCAAAUCAACACAAGGACACACAGGAUGCACUUAUUACAAAUCUAAAACCUAACAAAAGCCAGUCCCAAUUACCGACAUUUAGCAACACAUACGCUAUGUUUUCUUCCGACUACCCAACAGGGGAAACAUGCAUCUAGACACAGUAUUUAAGAGCUCAAAGUACAGCUACAUUAAACCUGAACAUCAUCGAAGCUCCAGCGGUUGAACAGCUUCACGUCAAGGUGAGGCUCAAUUGGUACCGUUUGUACCGUUGGUGCCGUUGGUGCCGUUGGUUCCACUGCAACAGACAUGGCUCUGCAUAACGCAAUCGAAGAUCUAAGGUUAAGAGUGUUAAAUUGAAAAAGAGGUUGGUUGUGAUUUUAAAUUCUUUGUUCAAUUAAAAUACUCACUGAAAAUUCAAGUAUAAAAUGUGAAAGGAAUUUCAUUGUAAGUAACAACGACGAAUGAUAAAGCUUACCUCUUCGUCGGAGGUUGGACCUUCAGACGAGAAUGCGAGAGAGCUUGUACAGAGUGGUGCUGAACACAGGAAAACCCUAGUUCAUGUUUAUAAGCACGACUGACCUGAAAAUUACCUUAAGGUCCUUUAAGGGUAGUAGGGUCUUUUCGUUUUUAUUUUAUUUUUAUAGAUUACAAUGUUUGAGAUUCAUCAAACUUCAAAUUAAUCUCUCUCUGGUUUUUAUUGCUAGAUUAAGCCUUGUGCAUUGCCGUCUCUUCAAUCUCAAUAUGAAUGGAUUAGUCAAGCCAUUUUUGCCUUACUUGUUGGCUAUAUAUGCACAAGCUGGAUGGUAAGCAUGUAAGGCUCGCAGAUUAUUUUCAUGUGGAGGGACGAGCACAUGUGGCUUUUAAAAUUUCGACCUCUUGUUUGUUCAUAUAAUUGCUUUUCACUUGCUUCUGAGUCAUGACUUCCGCCAUAUCCUUGAACCAUAAGAUGUUUUUCCUCUUUCAAAAAAUAUUAAAGCCUAAAGCUAUCAUGAUUUUCACUUCUAGCAUCCAGCAGAUAAAGUCGGGAAUAUAGGAGCAUCUACAUGAUUUCUCAACGAUUUAUUAAAAAUUUCAACUUUGAAGCAGCAGCAAACUAUUGAGACAAAUUUGAUACUCAAUACCUCAGAGCUCAGGGUAGAAGGAAAUCAAAGAUUUGACACAGAAACCAGGAAUAUUUGUUACUUGUUCAAACAAAACCUAGGGCUUUUUUCCGACAUAGAAGUUUAGCAAGAUUCGAUAAAGAACUCACAUCAGAACAAUCAAGUCUACGUUGCUAGUAAAUACCAAGACACAUAAACUAAAAAAAAUACGAACAGAGAUUGGCAACACAACUGCCAUUCAUCAACAUAAACAACAGUUGCUUGCAAGUAACCAAAACUUCGAAGUUCAAGCAUCAACAAACAAGAGCCAUCUCUGAUCAACGCAACCUUCUAGCUUCCCUCUCAGACUCGAGCAAGGUAAGGAUAUCCCCCUCCCUCACUGGUCCCUUGACGUUCCUCAUGAUGAACCGGUUCUGGUCAUCCAGAAACUUGACUCUAACUUGAGUCACCUGCCCACGAGAUCCAGUCCGGCCCAUAACUUUCACCACAACAGCAUGCUUCACAGUGGAGUCCAUUCUACACGCAAAUACAAAAGGAAAAUUAGCAAGAGAACACUCUUGUAGCAGUCGGUCGCCACCAGGAAAGCAACAAAGUCAAGAGGCCAGACUAUUAUAUUCAGCAUUACGAUAGGAAAUAGAACACGAGCUACAAACUACAAAAACCGAGCAAAGAACUAAAUGGGGUAUCAUAAUUUCAUCUUAUUUUCCGAUAACUGAAUCCUCGAAAAAUAUCAGAAUUAUACAGCAGCACCAAAAAUUGUCCUACAAAACACACUUCAAUUCCAUAGCACACUAGUAAAUCAAACCGAAACACCAAACAAAAGCCAACUACAAGCUAAUUACAAUUUUCAAUGUACAUGAACACAAACAGAACAUAAGUCAUAAGUUAUUUUUUCCCCAUAAUCCACUUUGAUUGAUGGCAUAAGGAAAGCUGCAAUCAACCAGAUCUAAUUCCCUAAACAAAUAAUGAGCAUAAAUCUUGAUUUAUACAGUCACGAAAGUUUGAUAUAAUUCCCUAAUUCCAUGAACACUUUUCUCAUCUUAUUUUAAAGAUCUAAAAACAACAUAAUAACAGUCAUAAUCUGAAUUUAUGAGUAUUGGGUUGAGUAAAUAAUCCAGCCAAAAACGCAAACAGCGAUUGAAAGUUUCAGAGAAUAAAUCGCUCAAUAAAGUAAAUAAAAAUGCAAACAGAGAUUGGAAAUAACAAUACUGAAGAUUACGCAUUUACAGAAGAGUGAGAAAUUCACCUUUGGUAGAGAGAGAGUCUUCAAAGGAAAAGUGACGAGAAGGAGUGCGCGGCUGCGUCAAGGAGAGAAAAAAAAUGCGUGCGUCUGCGUUUAGGGCACUAGGGUUAUCAAAGGUUUUUCUUUUAUAGUGAUUUUUUUUUCCUUUAAAAAUGUAAUAUUUUAUUUAUUUAUGGAUUGCUUAUUCAAAGCCCAAAUACGACGUCGUUUAUCAUUUCCACUGCAUCAUCUUCUCGUCUCUCUCUCGCUCUUGCUCUAGCCCUGCCUCGGUCCAGCAUUAAACCCAUCUCUCUCUCUCUCUCAAUGAAGCAUUCUCGCUUCAGUUCGCUGUUCAAUUUGUAUUCUCGUUUCGGUUUCCGAAACGUACCGGGCGUUUCGCUGUACUCGACGGCUACAGAUCCCACAUAUCAUCAUAGAAAGUGCUGGAAUGGUGCCCUGAACAACCUCUACGGUCGGAUUUCUCGAGUCGGAGAUCGCAAUGCAUGCAUUUUGCCGAUUCUCGACGAAUGGAUUGAAGAAGGCGGAAACGCAGAGAAAGAUGACCUCGUCACCAUAAUCAAGGAGCUCAGGCAAUUCAAGUACUAUAAGCACGCUCUUGAGGUAGGUACUAAUUUCUGUUUGGUUGCUCAGAAAGUGUGGAAAUGGAAUUCAUUUAGGGUCUUUAUUUGGUUUUGUAUCUUUAAUUUAUCAAAUAUUAUGUUCAACUCGGUAAAAUUGAAUUGUGAAUGGAUUGAAAUUCAAAUUAUGCUAUAGAGUAGCUUAAUUCUGUUAGCUUAACUGCUAAAUGGGAGUGCUUUCAUUGUAAUUUGGAGGAUUUAGACUGCUAAUGGUGAGAGCAAUGCUAUAUAGACUUCAAAAUAAGUCAGCCCAAGUAGCAAAGUUUUCAUCUUUUUCAUCUUCUUCAUAUUUGGAUUUCUGAAGAGAGAUUGUAUGGUAUGUUGGCAACCCCAGAUUCUGAAAAUUGUUUUUGGUUUAUUGAUUCGCAGGUAUCUAUGUGGAUGACUGACAAAAGGUACUUCAGCCUUAUGAAGGCUGAUGUUGCCAUCCGGCUGGACUUGAUUUCAAAAGUUCAUGGAAUUGAACAAGCUGAGAAUUAUUUUGAAAACAUUCCAAAACAAUUGAAAGCUCUCGAGGUUUACUGUACUCUCCUCAACUGCUAUGCCCAUGUAAAACUUGUGGAAAAAGCCGAGGCCACCAUGCAGAAGAUGAGGGAUCUGGGGUUCGCCAGGACACCUUUGGUCUAUAACGCUUUGCUCAAUUUGUAUUAUAAGACUGGAAACACUGAUAAAUUUGACGUUCUGCUGAAUGUAAUGGAAGAGAGUGGCAUCAGUUGUGACAGAUGCACAUAUGGGAUCCGUCUCAGUGCAUAUGCUGCUGCUUCUGAUCAUGAGGGAAUUGACAAGGUUGUGGCAGAAUGGGAAUCCAAUCCUGGGUUCCAGGUGGAUUGGAUUAAUUAUUCCGUUGCGGCAAAUGGUUAUGUGAAAGUAGGAAAUGUGGAAAAGGCUUUGGAAAUGCUAGAGAAGUCUGAAAAACUGAUAUCAAGCUCUGAAAGACCGAGGGCAGUAUAUGAGCACCUUAUGACUCAAUAUGCAGUAAUAGGGAAGAAAGAUGAUGUUGUGAGACUCUGGAAACUUUACAGCAAGCACAUGAAAAUAUACAAUAAGGGUUAUAUAGCCAUAAUAACCUCACUCUUGAAGUUUGGUGAUGUUGAAAGUGCUGAGAAGAUCUACGAAGAAUGGGAAUCCAGGGAAUUAACUUUUGAUAUUCGUAUACCUAAUCACUUAAUUGGUGCUUAUGCCAGAAGGGGCCUUUUUGACAAGGCUGAAGCCUUUCUUAACAGGAUAAUACUUAAGGGUGGGAAACUGGAUACACGGUCAUGGUUUACUUUGGCAAGAUUGUAUCUUGAUCGUAAUCAAAUUGAGAAGGCAGUUGAGUUGAUGAAGAGAGCACUUUUGACUGAGGGGCCUCAGUGGAUGCAUGACAAGGGUGUUUUGGCUGUCUGUUUGCGACACAUGAAAAAGAGAGCAGAUCUGGAGGGAGCGGAGGAGUUUAUAAGACAGCUCGGGGAUAAUUGUGUUAUCCCCGUAAGUGUUCAGGAGAGAUUGUUGGAUUAUAUUAAUAAAGAUGAUUCAGUCUCUAGAACCAGGUGAAGUGGAAUGGGAUGAUCUGAAUGGAGAUAAAGAAACAAGUGGACCUUUAGAAGCCGAGGGGACUAGUAGUAGUUAGGAUUAGAGACUCCUGAAAAUUUAGGUAAAGGCAAGUCAACAGCAGGGACUUGUAAAGAUGUGCGUGAGGAUGAAGCUGACGUGUAUUCAAGAUAUCAUUUUUCUGUCAAUGAAGAUGUUGCUUUUGUUUCUCUAAUCUGAUCAUGAAGUUUGCUGCAUAUAUAGAGGACUUGAAUGAAUUUUAUUUUGUAUUUUUCCUAUUCAUGAAGAUGCAGAAAUUCCCUGAACAAUUUUCUGGUACUAUUGGCAUGCUUGUGUCUACUAAAAACCACUCUUGAACUGCAAUUUUGAGGUUCCUGAAGAUUUCUUUGUAUAAAUAAGCUGUCAUCUACAUACCCAACAAAGGGAAAUUAAUAAUGAGCAGUAAAAAGACACAAACCCAACUCAUUUAAAAUUGAUCAACAAUUCCAGCAAUUGAGAUGUAGUGAAGUAGAGAGUGGGGAAUAGCUCAGUUGAUUGAGCUCUUUGGCCUCAAACUCUCUGGACAGAGGCUUGAAUCUCCCUUCCCAAUCGCUUGUACUAAAACAAAAUGCGGCUAAGUAAUUAAAGCUCCUACUAAAAAUAAGUGUUUAGCGGAGGGUAAUAUUGGUAUUUUGCAUUUUUUUUAUUUAUCUGAUUCUGGAUUUUAUUAAGUGACAAAAUAAACCAACCUCCUAUCGAAAACCCUGCCAAAAUGGAACAAAACCUCUCGGCCCAAACCCUCCCCAACUCACUCUCCAACCACCAAGACGACGACGAGGCCGCCGCCGACGACAAUGACCCACCGUCCCUAAGCCUUCAAGCCCUAGAAGCUCUCAAGGAGUUCCUAGCGGAGCAAAGCCAGCCCUUACCUGAUACCGCCGCCGAGAGCCGAGCCGCAGACUCGGCAGCUCCAGCUCUCAUCUCCGAAGACUGGAGACUGAGCCAGUUCUGGUACGACCCCCACACCGCCGAAACCCUAGCCCAAGAGGUCCUCACUCUCUGCAACUCGCUCCCCGACUCGGCCGCUAGGGUUGCUUGCGUCGCUUGCCCCUCACUCUACGCCUACCUCAAGGUCCCUUUCAUCUUUUCGCUCUCUGGGUUUUAAUUUAAUGUUUGUUUGUUUUUAAAUUUAAUAUUUUUACUGAUUUUUAUUUAUUUAUUUAUUUCUAUUUUCAGAACAAUGAUUCUGAGGUGCCUGUGCAACUGCUUGAGUAUGACAAGCGGUUUGAGCAGUACGGGAGUGAUUUCACGUUUUAUGAUUAUAACCGACCUGAAGACUUGCCAUUGGAGCUCAAGCAUGCUUUUGACAUUGUAGUUGCUGAUCCCCCUUACCUGGUGAGCAAAAUUAUGCUUCUUUAUGUCAUUUGGUUCAGUGUUAUAACUUAUGGGUAUGUGUGUUAUGUAGCAAAAUAAUUUGAAUCUGAGUCUUCAUGCACUCUGUAUGAAUUAAGAUCUACCAUCGAAAUACAUUUUCGUGACUGUGUUUGUACCAUGCUUGGUGACUGCAUUGCUUUUUCUACAUCUCUCGUAUAGAGGUCGAAUCUGUAUUCAUAGGUAGGACUGUGAAGUUGUGGUUAUGAACCAAUUGCUGAUAUAGUAUAACUGGUGUUUACAGAGUCGGGAGUGCUUGGAGAAAGUCGCUCAAACUGUUUCAUUUCUUGCACGAUCAGAAAAAUCUUACCUGCUUCUCCUCACAGGUAGACAUUUCCCUCCUAUAUAAUUGGCAAAACAUAAUAAGAAUAUUGCCAUUCCUGCACAAGCUACACUGUAAUUACUGUGCUACAAGACAGGAUUAAAACAUUUCACCAAUGAGAUUUUUGUUAUUGGAAUCAGAAAUUGAACAAGUGUUAUUGCUAGCACCUUUCAGUUUGUUGCAACUAACUGUUAUAUGAUGACUUGCAGGAGCGGUGCAGAAAGAGAGAGCAGCCGAACUCAUGGGAUUACAUCCAUGUGGUUUUAGGCCUCAACACUCUAGCAAACUAGGAAACGAGUUUCGGCUAUUCACAAACUAUGAUCCUGCAAUGAGAUUAGAAGGGUGGGAUGUUGAGAAGUAGGAACUCUGUAUUCUCGUGUGACCCUAAACUGGUAAGCAUAGAUUGGUCGGGGGAAAUUUCUUUCUUCCGACUCGGUAUUAUGUAGUGGAAUCUUACAUUUUCUGUGUGAUAAAUUUUGUUGUUCUCAAUGUCAUCUCCACAUGCUAUGAGCACAGUUAUAAUAUUCAUACUUAAUUAGGACCGAGUAUUUUGUGAACUCUGAACCGUUCUGACUUCUGAGCAUGCGGUAAUCAUUGUACUGGCAUUUUCUUUCUUUUUUACCAAGUUAUAAAUAAUGCCUAGAGCUCUAGAUGGUGGAAUGUUACUGUGGUUAUAUGGGUGAACUUUUGUCUGCAGAUUCAACUGCUGGAGAAUCAAACUGUGUCGCCUGCUAGGCAUAUUCUGGAUGCUAGAAUGAUGAUGUCAGAAUCUGUCAUGUGGCAUCAAUUCAGGCUAAAGCAGAUCAGUGUACAUUGCUACUCCAGUCUGUUUUAUCAUCUGUAGUUGUUUUUCAGUUUCUUCAACUCCCCACCCAACUUUUGUAAGCCAAAUUUGAUUUGUUAUGUGUAUUUGCAUCGCCCAAAAUUUCACAGGAUAGAAAUGUAUCUUCUUUUUUUAUUGGAAGAUAAAUCUACAUCCUCAAAUCAGUACUUGCAUCUUGACAAAUAUCAAUUCUCUCUUUAUUUGCUUAGAGUCUUCGAGUUUCCUUCCUCUCACUCACUCAACAGAAUAAGAACACUGAUGGGAGGGACAGAGAAAGAGGAGGAGAGAUGAAAAGUGCUAUGCUUCCAUGUUAAUUUGUUUCAUUUGAAUGGACAAAAUAACCUUAAAUUUAACAUUAAAGGCAAAUCGGCACGUUUUAAAAGUUUGAGUGGUUCAUAACCAAAUUGAUAGUUCGAGGGGCUCAUAGCCAAAUUGAUAGUUCGAGUAGCAAAUCUGAAGGUCAUUACUUUAUGAGACAUUGCUCAUAACCUCACACCAAUCGUUGGAUGUACAGUGCAAUUCAUCAAAUGAAAAAUCUAUGUUACAAAAUACUUUUCUAACCAAUUUGCAUCUUCUACAAUGGCUCUCUUCUAGGCAAGCCAAAGUAUUCUUUCUGCAUUAGAGACGACCUUAAACAUGAAUUUUGGUGCAGAGCUUCUUCAUAGGCAUCUGUUUUCGGUUGAAGAAUAUGAGUCUUGUGUCGAAUGGCGGAAUUAUGCUCGGGUUUGGAUGAGAUCUAACUCGGUGCAAAUUUGUGGAACUUUCGAAACUUUGCACUCCUUGUUCGAGAAGAUUCAAAGAAGUUACUCUCUUCACAUAGAUAUUUUAGAUACAACUCAAACAACGUGUUCCAAAUGAGAAAUUCCUUAAUUAUCAAAACAAAAUUAGGGAUUAAAACAAGAGAACCCUUCUUGGAUUUAACCCGGUGUCCAAUUUAAAUGCGGGCCUUCUCAACCCAACCCACGAUUUGUUUCAUGGACCCGACCCGCCCGUAUUUCACGAUCCGAGUUGGAAAAGAUGGAGAGUUCGAGAUCCCCGCACAACGCAAACACAAAAAAGCGAUUUGGUGCUCUCCAAGACUUACUUCCAACUAAAGUUUUUUCAAAACCAAGUCACAUAACUGCAGCAGCAGCAGCAAGAAGAAAUGAGGCCAAACAUCGUUUCCGAGGUAAAUCUCACAACUCUCCGAUGCUCUCUUUCCCAUUGGUUUUUACCUUCAACUUCGCAUAUUUCUCAGAGAGUUAUAGUUUUCUCUUAAUGUUUUGUUUGGUUGCUGAGAAAAUGCGGAAAAUUUUGAAUCUCGUUAAGUACAGCACGAGGUAAUUUUUUUCUUGGAAAACUGGCAAUAUGUUAAACAAUGGAAUUUAGUUGCUUUGAGCUUCUCAAUUUUUGUUGCUAAAAAUAUGCAGAUUUUUUUUUGGGGGGCUAAAAAUGGGCAGAUAUUUGAGUUACAUUUGUACUCUGCUCUCAUGAAUGAUCUGUUAGGAGUUUCUUACUUCUUCUUCUUCUUUGUUCUUUAUUGCACAUAUGUACUUUCAUGUUUGAGCUUGUCUUGGUUGUGUUUAGCUGCAACAUCAUGAAACUUAAAUAGACCAUUGAUUUCUUUAUUUAUUUUUUUUAUUUUGAAAUUAGUAUUUACUUGGAUAUUCAUGGCUUGCGUGUUUGUUUUUAUAUCUAAUUAAUUUUGUGUUCUAGUAAAUUUCAUAUUGAUUCUAUGUUUGGGUGUAUAGGCAGGACUGCAAACUAGGUUGGGGCAAUGGUGGGAGAGCAUUCCUUUUCUUACUUCUGCGGUGGUUGGCGUGUGUGGAACUGUUUACUUGAUCUGUCUCCUGGUUGGAUAUGACUCCUUUUACGAAAUAUGCUUUUUGCCCUCUGCAGUUCUAUCAAGAUUUCAAGGUAAAUUGUUGAAACUGAAAUCUGACAUGAUUGGUACAUUCAUUGGUCAGUUUUGAAUUUAUUAGUUAUUGGAAAGAAGUCCAAUUUUCCCAACCUCUUUCCUGGGGUUAAACAUGCCCUUCCCUGCCCCUCAUUCUCACACUAUUAUUCUUGAUGUUUCACUUCUGGAUAUAAUUGAGGAUUGUGCAACUUAACAUCUUUGUUAUUCUUCUGUUCUGAUUUCUAUAAUUUUGAUGAUGCUACUAAAAUUUUACUUUGCCACAAAGCAGAGGUCCAUCAUUUUUUUUUUUGGUCAAACAUCAUUUCAAGUUAUGUUCAAGUUCACAUGAUUUUGGUAAUAGACCUUAUGAUUUGUAGUCCUUUAUACUAAUAAACAAAUUAAGAUUAUUGUAUCAUGUUUUAUAUUCUUCUGGUGUUGUCACUAUUUCGCCAAUAUUGGAGAUACUUUGUUGCAUGAAUGUGGAGGCUUGAAGUUUUAAGAUUAAUUAAGUGACUUUAACACCAUUAGUACUGUUUAGCUGUUUUGGUUGCUCCCUUGGAUUCUUUUAUGUAUAAGUCCAGCACACUGGGCUAGAAACCUGCCAGUAGUUUCUUCGAUUUAGUAUUGCCCUAGAUCAUGAUCUUUUAUGAUCAAGCUACAACCUGUAUUUUAGUUCCUCUAUUAUCAAGCUACAACACAAUCUUUGUGUCACCUGCCUGGCCCAAUUUGAAGCCUCGAAUAGAGAAUUGAACAGCUGUUCGUUUUGAUCUCUCUCUUUUUCGUCAAUCAAAAGCUCAAUUUAGCUUAUGUUUAAUAAUCAACAAAAAUUAUUUGGGUGAUUUGUUCUGUUAAUAGAUAAAAAGAAUAGCCUGUUAUUGCAUGCACUCUGACACAUCUCAUGGUCACUUUCUGUUCUCCUUUUCAGUCUACAGGAUUUUCACCUCCAUUAUCUUUCAUGGUUCAGUGCUUCAUGUAUUGUUCAACAUGAUGGCAUUGGUUCCUUUGGGUUCUGAGUUGGAGAGAAUCAUGGGAUCUGUCCGCAUGUUGUACAUAAUCUUUCUUUUGGCCAUCAGCAAUGCACUGUUUCAUCUUACGAUUGCGCUUUUGGUGGCCUAUAAUCCCAUUCACUCUGAUCCGUAUCUCAUGAAUGAAUGUGCAAUAGGCUUCUCGGGAAUCUUGUUUUCUAUGAUUGUGAUAGAGACAAGUCUGAGUGGACACCAGUCUAGAAGGUUGGCUUUUCUAAUGUUUAAUUUCAAAUGUAUUACAUACCAUGGUUUUGUUUUUUCACUGAGUGAGAAUUUUGCAAAGGCUAUCUUUUCCCUAACCUAGAAUAAUUAGAUAUUCCGAAGCUUUCAUGUAUUUGAUCAUACAUAUGGGUGCUAAGACAUCCACCGCAUACACAGCUGCACAUUAGAAUUCUUUUCCCUUUUUUCUUUCAUUCUUGACAAAUGUAUUGGAUUCUACUAACUCACAAACUUUUCUCUCUGCAGUGUCUUUGGACUCUUUAACGUACCUGCUAAAUGGUAAUUACAGUAACAUGCUUAUGUGAUGUCUAAUUCUGUUCAUUUUACAUUGCCUUUUUUGGUAAUAUUUUGACAUAUUUACUUAAAUAUCUGUUUCAGGUAUGUAUGGAUCUUGCUGGUAGUGUUCCAAGUUGUUAUGACAAAUGUUUCUUUACUGGGGCACCUAUGUGGCAUUUUGUCUGGCUUUGCAUGUAAGUUUUCUCCCAUUCUAAUAUUAUUCCCCUCUUCUAUUUUGCUGUGCCAUGUUACACGAGGGAGUUGGUGACAAUUCUAUGUCUUGUCUUUACAAUACAGAUACUUACGGAUUAUUCAAUUUCCUCAUUCCCGGACCAUCCUUCUAUUCUACAAUUGAGGCCACCUCGUUGCUUGUAAGUAAACUGCUUUUGAUGAUCGAUCAAUUUGGAAACUUACUAUUAUUCUUUUAUCUUUUCCAACCUGUGCAUUCAUAAUUUGCAUGGAUGUCUAAUUGUUGUUCUUUUAAAAUAUUAUGUUUUCAGUCAACUUGUGUGAGGCGGCCUAAAUUUAUUUUGUGCACUGGUGGGAAUCCUUCAGCCUUCAUCCCUACAUAUUCAAGCCAAGGUACAGCAUCUAGGUAAGUAAUAUUUUUUUGUUUUUCAAUGUUUCCUUGUUGAAAAAUUAAGCACCUUCUGCUCUUCUUAACAGACUACAAUUAUAUGUACUAUAGUCGUAAAAUGAUAUAUUUUCUUAACCAGUGGAUUCUCUGCCGGAAGUGUCUGGAGAAACUUGUCUUCAUGGAUUCCACAGAGGGAAACAUCUGCACAGGUUUUGUUUUUCUUUUUCUUCCACUUGUGUUAAUGCUGUUUUACCCUUCAAUUCAAUCUUUAAAAUUGCACACUUCGUUGUAAUCUUUAACCCUCGGUGUUUGGUGAAUGUAGAUUAAGUUAUUGAAUUUGAUGACUUCCUAUUGUAAUAAUGCAGUCAGCACAAGACGGUCACAUGUUUCCUGGGAGGGGAAGAACACUUGGAUCUGGUCGAAAUACUGCUUCUGAUGCUAAUUCAGAAUCAAACUUACAGGUUAGACUUUUGGAUAAUAGCAACUCAGAACAUCCAUCAGACAUGGCAGUUAUUGGUACAGGACAGCAGUUAUCUGAUGGAAGGUACUAGGAAAACUUCCUGCUUCUAGGUUAACGAGCUAUUUCUGUUCAUGGAUUGUGUUUUUCAGUUUACAAGAAAUUUGGUAGUUAGUUCAUCACUUGUAAAGGCUUUCUUGUUCUUUCACCCAUGCAUUUCUAUAUUGAACGGAUUCAGAAGAGUUUUUCUCGUUGAUGAGAAAAGAUAUGUAACUGAGGUUACACUAUCGCAACAGUCUUUCACGUUGAUUAAGAUGCAUGAGUAAUUUUUUUCCAGAUGUGGAAAAGGUUAUAAUGUUAGUGGUAGUGGUGGUAAUGGUGAUUCUGGCAUUAACAUUGUUAAUGAUUAAUCACUACUAAUGGCUUGUUGUAAAGAUAGAAAAUUAUCUUGCCUAUGAUUAAUCACUACUGAUGGCAUGUUUUAGAGAAAGAGAGAGAACUUUUCUGUGCUAUGAAAUACAAAGGAAUGUCUUUACUUUUGUGACUUGGACAGUAAACCCAUCACUCCUAACCUCGGGCCUGAGUCAUGUUUAAAUAGUGCAAAAAAGAAUUUUUACAUUAGUUUGUUAUUCGAAGAGUUCCUAACCAUGCUUCUGACUGGAAACUGGUACUAUCUAUUUCCUUGAUAUUUUCAGGCGGUCAACCCUAAAUAAUACAUCAGUCGCUGCAGCAGAAGUUCCUGUGCACCAUCAGGUUUGUUCUUUUAAUCAAUUUCCUUUCAACAUCUUCAAGCUCAUCUGAUUUACACAUGUAUCUUGGUUUACUUGUCAUUUGCGUGCAGGAUUAUGUUAUUUCUGAAGAAGAAAUCCAGAAGCUUGUAUCAAUGGGCUUUGAAAGGGUAAAAAACUUGAAAAUUCCUUUUCCUUGAUCAAAUGAGCUAACCAUCCUAUAUAGUAUACAUUUUCCUUAUCUAGCUUGAUUCAUAUUCGUAGAGUUGAAGAAUGCAAGGCUGGUUAUGAAAAAUGUUUUAGGAUCGAGGAGCAUAGUUUUAUGUUCAGCCUUAUAGCUGAUGCUUGCUUUAAUGAAGAAAUCUUUGAAUGUCACUAAAUGUCUUGGUAUGGGUUACAGACACAGGUAGAAGUUGCUCUUGCAGCUGCAGAUGGGGAUCUUAAUGUGGCAGUGGAAAUUCUGAGCCAACAGGUCUGUCUUUCAAACUCAUUUGUUUCCCAAAUUGUCGACUGUUGAGAUUUCUUGGUUUAAUAAUGGGGAUUGGGAAUUAUCUGCAGGGCUAAUCCAAGCAAGCGAGCUAACUAUUUGACUUCUCAAAAUGGACCUCGGUCGACCCGGUUUGAUGGGCCCGGUUCAUUUUCACGUUUAUGUAAAGUUCCAUGUUCAUUUUCACGUUUAUGUAAAGUUCCAUAUCUGUAUACUCUGUGUAUUGUUUGAGAGCAUGCUGAGAUUAUUUGGUCUGGGGGAAGGAAGAUUCUGAAUGGGAUACCACUACACACACUUAACAUCUGUUUAAAUGAAGGCAGAUAAGUAGUUUAUAACAUUUGACAGCAAUGGAAAAACUAGAGUUGUAAUAUAACAUCCACACCUUUAGCUUUGCAUUGUUUGUUACCCAUUAUCUACUUGUAUAGUGGUUCAUUUACGGCUUGUUUGGUAGUGCUUUUCUCGAAACGCAGAUCUAAUUUGUUUUCUCAAAUAGGACUUCAAUUUUGAGUAAAAUUUUUGUUGUGCUUAUAAUAAAAGUGGUUCUAUAGCAGAAUUGCUUCUAGAUAAGGACUCCCAAAGGGGAGCAAAAGCGUUUUCUACAUAAGCAUUUGUAAUGAUUACAUGGAAAGGAGCUUUUUCAAUUCACACCAUCUGUUAUUUAUUGAUACAUUUUAUUUCUCAUAUAUAAAAACCUAAUGCUUUCCAGACUCCUUGGGUGGCUUAACAAUUACAACUGGGCAUUUUGCGUGAUGUGCGCAGUAGUCACUCACGCUUCCUAUGAAUGUUCUGCACCACCCAACAAAAAACAAAAUUAAAUUAAAUUAAAUUAAUGAGGCAAAUAAAAUAGAAUAGAUGUUGUUUGGAUUUUGCGUGACAAUUGUAAGCAGGAAUUCCAAAUGAACAUAAACAAAAAAAUCACCUCUUGAUUAUGCCAAGGCCACGGCUGCCUACAACCAAAAGAUCCACAUGCAUCUGCUCUGUGGCUUGACAAAUCAUGUCCUUCGGAUCUCCACCUAGAAUUAGGGUUUCUGCUUUGAUCUGCACAAUUACUAAAAUCGUGUUAGUUAAGUUCACCCAAAUGCAUCACAAAACCUCUCAUCUAAUUAUCUGAACCCAUAAUUAGAAUCAUUAAUUGAGAAACUAAUAAUGCAAGAGAAAUCCUUAGAUACAUAAACCAACCUGAUAAAUGAUUAAUUCACAAAAUAACAACAUAAACAUUAAAACAUCGUGUGUGUGUGUGUGUUAAGAGUGCUAAUCUAUUGAGGGAUCUUAAACUUAUGCAAAGAAUCACUGCGAGACUCGACUCGCAUUGUAUUUCCACAAUCAGAACCAUUUAUUUUUUAAGUUUCAUUCAAAUCUAUUGUAUUUCCACGAUCAGAAUCGUCUAUUUUUUAAGUUUCAUUUACAUAUUUAAAAGGAUAGACAAUUCACAAAUUUAUCAUCUACAAAUUUGAUAAACACGGUGUUUAAAAAAACACACAAAAAUAACAACUAUUUAAGCGAGUGUCAAAAUGUGAAAAUAAAGAGUCCUACAUUGAAAAGUUAAGGAAACCUAAUAAAAACUUAUAAGGAGUUGAGUUACUCCCCUUAUAGUUAAUUAGUUUUGGAGUAGAACUUUAACUUCUUUCAUGAUAUAAGAGAGAACGUGUGAGAAUGUAGAUGUAAAAAAUCUCACAUUGAAAAGUUAAAAAACCUAACCAAGGACUUAUAAGAAGUUAGAUUACUCCCUAUUCCCAAUUGAUUUGAUUUUGAAGUAGAACUUCUAACUUCCUUUAAUAUUUCAUCCUACUAAACUAAAUUAAUUACCUUCUUAUCCUUGCAAAUCUCCAAAGCGCGGGCGAGUAUAGCGGCAGCCCUCUCUUCUUGUUCCUUGCGCAAUUCACCAGACACAGCAGCAGAGAGGACGUAGUUCUGGAACGGCUGCAUAACAUAAACAAGAGUCACCAUGCUCACAUUCUCAUGGCUCCCUGCAAGAGGUGCUUCCAGGGUCGCCGUGCCUGUGCUUGUAGCCACAUCAUCGGCGUUGUCCUUGGGCAGCACAAGAAGAAGGUCAAGGGCCCACUUGAGAGCAUAGAAGCUCCCCUCACUUCCGUCUAUGGCCACCACCACCCUCAUCUUCUCCUUCUUCCUCUGUUGCUCGUCGUCCCCGCUUUGCACCACUGCCUGCUCUGCAACUAUUGUUGUCUGCAUCACUUGCUUGGCUGAGAUAUCUUCUUGUUGUGUGGUUUUGUUGGUGCUUUUGAAUGGUAUAUAUACAUACAUACAUAUAUAUUCGUCGCUCUCUCUCUCUCUUUUCAUUUUUUUUUUCCCCUUAGAGGUGAAUUUCCAUUUGUUUCUUAUUUGUUUAGAUUGGAGGUAAAAGGACACGUUUAUGUACGUGGCAAUCACGCAAAUAGAAAAUUCCAAUUCCUCAUACAAUUUUGGCAUUUCCGUGGGGUAUAACUCUUUGUGUUUUACUAUUUUGGUGUCGUGUCAUCCUCGUGACCUGUGAAAUUCUUCUCAAUUUAAAUUUAAUUCGUAAUAUGUAAACUCAAGCUUAUUUGUGAAAGUAACACAUCGUGUCCUGUUUUAUCUGUCGACACUUGGAAAGUCGGGUGGUUUUAUCUGUCGACACUUGAAUUCGGGUGGGACUUUUGAUCGGAUCACAGUCAGAUUUUUAUUGGGUCAGAACAUAAUGGAUGAUCUUCUUUUUCUUACCGAAAGAGCAUGUCACCAAAGAAGCACUGGUGUAGUAUCAGUCAACUUUUUCUGAUGACAACGUCAUAAUUGAGUAAAGGUAUUCUGUUGAGAGGGCAAAUGAACAUAAUUUCUGGGAGUAGAGAAGUUAUUACCUUGUUUGAAUGUAAGUCAGGAAUAUUUAUAAGAGAUGAAGGAGAAAUAGAACUCCUGGCAGGAGGGGUGUCUCUAGCCAUGCUGCCAUCAUGGUUAGAGGGAAUGAUUUUGGCAUCAUGACUUCUUGUGCUUGUUACAAAAGGGAGACGAGCCAAUGGGGACACCUGAAAGGGAGUAGGAAUACAUUCUCUCUCCAACCAUAUGGUGGCACAUGUUCAAGUUGGUGAGCUUUGGGAGGUGGUCCGUUACUAGGUCCCAACUACCCCUAAUUCCCGGGGUGGAUCACUAAGAGUAUCGACUCCUUACACAACAUUUUUAGAUAAAAUUUAGGAGGAGGUGAGAAAACUCAACUCCAACCAUACUCUCUUUCCAACUCUUAAAAUAUGAAGGCCUAUAGAAGUUCUUAAAUUUGAUGAGAAAGAAAGAACUCUUAGAGGCUCCCUAUAAUUAAAUGAUGCUUUACUUUAAUGCUAACUAUUUUGUAUUAUUAUUAUCCGGUGGACUCCAUUCUUUUCUAUCAUGUGAGAAAACCUUGUUUGAUUGUCAACAGCCCUAGGAUUGGAUUCAAUAGUAGCUGAAUAAAUAGAUGGGGAUUCCUUUCAUAUGAAGAGUGAGUAUUUAUACUAAACUAAAAAAAUAAAUAAAUAAUUUAUGAUUCCCUAAACUAGAGAGGAUGGUUGGAAUUGAAAUUUUAUAAGGAGCUUCUAAAAUAGCUUCCUAGUGUUUUUAGCUAAAUUUUAACUGAAAAAUAAGGAACAUGAUUAUGGAUGCUCUAAGCGACCAAUGUGGUCUCGGCCCCCCUCACCUAUUUUAUAUUUUUAUAAAUAUAUUAUAUAUAUACUAAUACUUAUAUAUAUUGAUAUAUUUUAUAUUACCUUUAAUAUUUCAAGAAUUUCAUUUUCAUGCAUACCUCUUUUCUUAAAUUUACUAAAUCUGUUACUUUUUUAUUUUAUUUUUUUUUAUAACACAAAUCCUCAAAAUCUAAUUCUUUUUCAACUAUUUCUCUUUUUCUUUUUUUUUUUGUGGACACAAAAACUUCCUCCUUCCUCUUACAACCAUGUUUGUGACUUUUGUUUAUUUUUCUUAUUCUCCAUAUAAUAUAUUAUCAAAUUCCAAUUGAGUUAAGUUACUUAAUUCAGGUUUGUUAAAAUUUAUCUUUUAUUUAUUUAUUAUUUUCUCUCCACCUAUGAUUUGUUUGGGUUUCAGAAAUUUUUUAUUAUGUUCUCAUCACAUAUGGUUUGUAUAGAUUUUGGAAAUUUUGAUUUAUUCUCUACUUUGAGUUUAGUGAAUCUUCCAAAACAAUUAUGUGUAGAUUACCAAAUGAAAAAGUUGUAAAUAUAAUAUAUAUAGCUUCAGUUGAGGGAUUCCUCAAAUAAGUUUAUUUUAAGGACACUUUUGCAGGGUCCACUCCAUAUUGUAUUUCACUAAUUUAAACUGUCUAUUUUGUAGAUACUCAUUCAAAGAUCAUCUCUACAAAAAAUCACUUUCAUAUCAUUUGACGACUCAAUUAAAUUAUUGAAAUUUUAGUAUUUUCUUAAAGCACCGUGUUCAUUAAUUUUGUAGAACACAAUUUGAUAUCGAAACGGUCUCCGAUUUGUGUAAUUUUUUGCAAGAAUGAUCUACGAAUAUAGACUUAAAAAAUAGAUAAUCGCACUUCCAAACGGACACUCUUACCUUCAACUUGCCUCCGACCGAAGGUGCAUGAGUUAACCGAUCAGUAUCUAACACUUCUUCAUUUCGUCUUUAUAUUGAUGACGAGAAGACAAAUAUGCCCCUAAUUAUACCAUAUUUGUACUAAUUACAUGAAAAUGAACUUACUAUUUGACUUCUCAAAAUGGACCUCAGUCGACCCGGUUUGAUGGGCCCGGUUCAUGUUCACGUUUAUGUAAAGUUCCAUAUCUGUAUAUAUAUUCUAUAUUGUUUGAGAGCAUGCUAAGUCAAAGCACUACCAAACAUGUCCUAACUCGAAUUACGAUACAAGAAGAUAACUUGAAGCACGAUGUUAUAUUACAACUCUAGUUUUUCCAUUGCUCUCAAACAUCUUAUGAACUAUACUUCUAUGCUUUCAUUUAAAUCAUUUCAACAGAAACUAGUGUGUGUAGGGAUAUCCCAUUAGCUUCGACUUAAGGCUUGUUUGAUAGUGCUUCGACUUAAGGCUUGUUUGAUAGUGCUUCGACUUAGGACCUAUUUAGUAGUACUUUGACUUAGGGCUUGUUUAAUAAUGCUUUUCUCAAAACGCCUAUCUAAUUUGUUUUCUCAAAUAGGACUUUAAUUUUAAGUAAAAUUUUUAGGGAUAUGAUUUCCCCAAUCCCUUUUUCUCUACUUACACUCCCUUUUACUUUUUAAUACUUUUUAAUCAAUUUUGUUAAUUCUCUUUCCUAUUCUACCCUUACCCUACAUUAAUUUCAUUUUACUUCACCUUUAUAUUAGUUCUUUUUCUUUAUACUUCAUUUUCCAACUUGUAUUCUAUUUUCAAUAAUUUUUUUCUUCUUUUAAUCGAGUAAGAAAUUAAUUAAUUAUUUUUUUUAAUACUAAAAAUGGAGUGUAAAUUAAAAAAUUCAAUAUUUAAAAAAAUAAUAUUUAAAAAAAAAUUAAUGUAAGAUAAGGAUAGAAUAAAAAAGAGAAAGAACAAAAUUGAUUAAAAAAUAUUGAAAAGCAAUGGAGAAAUCAGCUCCCAAUUUUUAUUGUGCUUAUAAUAAAAGUGGUUCUAGAGAAGAAGUGCUUCUAGAUAAGCACUCCCAAACGGGAGCAAAAGCGUUUUCUACAUAAGCAUUUGUAAUGAUUACAUGAAAAGGAACGUUUUCAAUUCACACCAUCUGUUAUUUAUUGAUACAUUUCAUUUUCAUAUAUAAAAGCCUACUGCUUUCCAGACUCCUUGGGUGGCUUCACAAUUACAACUGGGCAUUUUGCAUGAUGUGCACAGUAGCUACUCACGCUUCCUAAGAAUGCUCUGCACCACCCAACAAAACAAAUUAUAAAAUAAAAUAAUAAUACAAAUCAAAGACAAUAGUGCUGAUGAAAAUUAAAUAUUUAUAAUUUUUUUUUUUUGGGGAUUUCGAGUGAAUUCCAAAUGAACAUCCUGAAUUUGACAGAGAAUAAUCUGAGUUCAGUAAACAUGUAAUAAGCUGUGUCUGUGUGGAUGGAGAAAAUCACCUCUUGACCAUGCCAAGGCCACGGCUACCUACAACCAGAAGAUCCACAUGCCUCUGCUCUGUGGCUUCGCAAAUCCUGUCCUUCGGAUCUCCACGUAGAAUUAGGGUUUCUGCUUUGAUCUGCACAUCAUGUUAAUUAAGUUCGUCCAAAAUGCAUCGCUACAAACCCAUAAUUAAAAUCCUUAAUAAAAAAAAUAUAAUUAAGAAACCAACCAACCUGAUAAAUGAUUAAUUCACAACAUAACAACAUAAACAAUUUUUUUUAAAUAUCAUAACAUAAAUUUUUUUUUUUUCCUUUCUACUAGCGAUAUUCUACUUUAAUCUGAUCAUCUAACCAUCUAACCUAAACUAUAGAGAAGAGGAAAAAAGGGAUUCAAACUUGAGUGCAAAGUGAUGAGUACGUCCGCAAUUCGGCUAAGCUCAUAACAACAUAAACAUUAAAACAUCGUGUGUGUUAGUGCUAUUCUAUUGAGGAAUCUUAAAACAUAUAUGUAAGGAAUCUCUCGUUAAUUACCAUCUUAUCCUUGCAAAUCUCCAAAGCACGGGCGAGUAUAGCAGCAGCCUUUUCUUCUUGUUCCUUGCGCAAUUCAGCAGACCCAGCAGCAGGGAGGACGUAGUUCUGGAACGGCUGCAUAACAUGAAUCAGAGUCACCAUGCUCACAUUCUCAUGGCUCCCUGCAUGAGGUGCUUCCAGGGUCGCCGUGCCUGUGCUUGUAGCCACAUCAUCGGCGUUGUCCUUAGGCCCCACAAGAAGAAGGUCAAGGGCCCACUUGAGCGCAUAGAGGCUCUCGUCACUUCCGUCUAUGGCCACCAUCACCCUCAUCUUCUCCUUCUUCCUCUGUUGCUCGUCGUCCCUGCUCUGCAAACUAUUGGUGUCUGCAACACUUGCUUGGCUGAGAUUUCUUCUUCUUCUUGUUGUGUGGUUUUGCUGGUGCUUUUGAAUGGGAUAUAUAUGUAUAUAUGUCGGUCUCUUUUCCUCAAAGGUGAAUUUCCAUUUGUUUGUUUGUAUUGGAGGUACAAGGACACGUUCGUGUACGUGGCAACCAUGCAAAUAGAAAAUUCCAAUUCCUCAUGCAAUUUUGGCAUUUCUGUGGGUAUUAUCGGUAUAUGAGAUGAGAUAGACCUCGACGCAACCCUUUGUGUUUUACUAUUUUGGUGUCCUGUUUUAUCUGUGGACACUUGGAAGAUCGGUGGGUUUUAUCCGUUGACACUUGGAAGGUCGGGUGGUUUUAUCCGUUGACACUUGGAAGGCCGGGUGGUUUUAUCUGUUGACACUUGAAUUCGGGUGGUCAACUGAGGAGUUUUGAUCGGAUUCGGAAUCAGAUUUUUAUUGGGUCAGAACGUAAUGGAUGAUCUUCUUCUUCUUACCAAAGUGCAGGUCGGACUUGAGAUUUUAAAGGCCAUGACGAAGUCGAAAUUAAAUCCUAUAUAUAUAUAUAUAUAGCUUCACAUAAAAUAUUUUAUUUUAUUUUAUUUACAUGUGUGUAAAAUAUUAGAAAAUAUAGCUUUGUAUAACUAUAAUAAAAAGUUUAGACCUUUAAACAAAAUAAAUUUUAUUUUUUUAUGUCUUCAUAUAUAAGAAAAGGAUGAUUAAAGACCAAAAAAAAACAUUAAAGUACUAAAAAGCAUACCAGCAAGUGGGGACACUUGGAAGGGAUUAGGAAUGCAUUAAAUUCUCUCUCCAAUCAUAUGGAUUACCCCUUGUUGGUCUUAGUUAGAUCUACACCUUCAGCUUUGCAUUGUUUGUUACCCAUUAUCUUCUAUGAUGUGCUUCGACUUGGGGCUGUUUAGUAGUGAUUUCUCAAAACACCUAUUAAGUUCUGUAAAUGAAAAUUCCAUUGUGUUUAUAAUAAACACGUUUCUAAAGCAGAAUCGCUUUUUUGAUAGAGUAAUGCUACAGACACCAACUUAAAUACCAACUUAGUGAUACCAACUUAUUUGGCACGUGACAUGUCAACCCAUGUCAUCUAUCAUCGCCUCACUUCCCAAAUCUGGUCAUGGUUUCAGUUAACAGACUAUACAGAUUCUGGUCAUCACCCAUAUUUUUAUCCAUCUUCCUCAUUUUUAUUAGUUUGAGCCAUCUUCCAUAUCAAGCAAUACAUCACACAACCCUUCAAUGCUGCAACUGUUUCGCAAUAUUGAUACUUACCAAGGAAUUCUCUUCUCAUUUAUGUAUCAGUGUCGUGGUCAUGUAUGAGAACUUUUUUGCAUACGUGAAGGCAUAGAAGAGUGUACAAACCUCGUUGCAGGGAGAGCCGUGAAGGCUGAAAUUGCUAUACAUAUCAGAUUGGUAGAGGUCAAACGUGGGGUGUGAGUAAUGAAGAUUUUUUAAGGAGGAGGACAUGGUAGAUUUGAGAAGGAUGGAAGGCGUGGAGAAGAAUUUAUUUAUUUAGGGUUUAAGUUUUAUUUAUUUUUAACUAAAUAAUUAAGUUAAUUAUGGCAAUUUUUUUUUUAAAAUUUAACUAAUAAAAAAUAAUAUGACAAAUAACAUAAAUUUUCAUGUGUCACAUAAGUUAAUAUUAAUAAACGCUUUAAAUAAAAGUUCUUUAAUGUGUCACAUAAGUUAAUAUUAAUAAACGCUUUAAAUGAAAGUGCUUUAAAUAAAAGUUCUUUAAUGUGUCACAUAAGUUAAUAUUAAUAAACGCUUUAAAUGAAAGUUCUUUAAACGGAUACUCUUUCUACAUGAAAACUACAUGAAAACUUAAAAAACGCUUUAAAUGAAAGUUCUUUAAACGGAUACUCUUCCUACAUAGGCGUUUCGUUUACUUUUCCUACAUAAGCAUUCCCAAACGGGCACUCCUACAUGAACGUUUCGUUUACUUUUCCUACAUAAGCAUUCCCACAUAAGCAUUCCCAAACGAGCACUCUUAACUUUGACUUGCCCUUCCGACUGAAGGUGCAUGAGUUAACCGACACUUCUCCAUUUCGUUGAUGACGAGAAGACAAGAAAUGCCCCUAAUUAUAUCUAUUAACAAUCUGAAAUUGGUCAACGUAUUAUGUACGUAGCUGGGAGUUUUGUAAUUAGAUGAACAAAAAACUUACCAGAAGAAAACCAUUCAUCAUAAUAAUAAUUACAUGAAAAGGAACUUUUACAGUUUACACCUUCUGCUCUUGAUACAUUUCAUAAUAAACAAAUAAAAACUCUAAUAAAAAGCUACUUCUUUCCAGACUCCUUUGGUGGCUUUCCAGACUCCUUAGGUGGCUUUCCAGACUCCUUAGGUGGCUUCACAAUUACAACUGGGCAUUUUGCAUGAUGUGCGCAGUAGUCACUAACGCUUCCUAAGAAUG